Molecule: long non-coding RNA, 53659 nt
Filed under: Vitis vinifera (wine grape)
Lineage: Eukaryota; Viridiplantae; Streptophyta; Magnoliopsida; Vitales; Vitaceae
Description: long non-coding RNA (VVIN_LNC001899)
Source: RNAcentral
ACACCAAGGCUUCACCAGAGUGCGUAUGCAGUCUGAGCUCAAACCGCUCAGACCAAAACCCAGGCCUCGCUGCUAUAUGGCAUGGAUGCAGUUAAGUAGAAAAUAUUUUGGGAUGCCUGUGGCUUAGUAUAAGAUGUAUUAGCUCAAAGAUGGUCGUUUCAUUCUACCACCAAGCCAUAUGCAUCUAUGCAUAAUCUAUUGAUUUAGGCUCGAUUUGGUUAUAGUUUUUGUUUUUUUGUCUUCCAAAUCAGUAAAUAGUAGGGGUAUUUUUGUCCUAUGUAGUGAUUCUUUUUGUUUGAUUGAUUAUAUUUGGAUCCUUCAAAUAUUCCUACACAACUAUUAACCUCCUUCAAAAAUAUAUAGUUAAGGGCCUUGGUCAGAGCCAUCUCCAUCUUUUCACUUCUUGUGCUGCAGUAUGGGAUUGGCUUAGAUGAUCGUUAGUCUAAUGUUUCCUUUUCAACAUCAUAAUUCAGCGCAAACUAAGUUGAAUAUUCAACAACAAAUAAGUACAGAAAAUAAUGGAAGAAAAAUUCCCACUUUAUCUCCGUAAAGUAAUGCCAUAUUUUUCUUCAUACUUACCUUCUAGAUUUUUGUUGGAGCUCUGAGCCCGUGAUCCAUUAGAUGAUUGCGUGUGUGCAUAUGCAUGUGGGUGAUUGCGUGUAAUACGUACGUACGUUCCAUGAUUCAUGUUCGAAGUACCCUCUCUUAUUUAUCGUUGAAGAGGCUAUCGUCACAAACUCUAUUGAUUAAUUAGUCUAGGCAAAUUAAGGCGCGAUAACGACCGAUGUAUAUCUUAAAAGUAACGAUUAAGAGAAUAUUAUAUGUACAAGGGAAAAAUCUACAUAUAAUUAUUGAUGCAACUUGCAAGUGGGAUAAAAUUUGGGAUGGGGAUUAUUAUAAAUUAAUCUCAAUCCAUAAUUGUGAUUGUGGAGUAUAAAUUAAAUGAUUCAUAAUCCAUCUACAUGAAGAUUAAAACCCAUAUUGAAAAUAGCUUUAAAAAACUAAUUUAUAAGAAUAAUUUUUGCAUCAUAUUUUGUGUGCUUGAACUCGUUUCCUAUAUUUUUAAAUAUAUAUUAAAUAUAAUUUUCUUUUAUUUAUAGUGUUUUAUUUUUAAUUAUUCUUCAUAUUUAUAUAAUUAUUUUUUAAAACAAUCAUGAUAAAAAGCAAAAAGAAGUGAAAAUAGCUUAAUAUAAUUAAAGACAAAUAUCUUAUUUUUUGUUAUCUGUUGUUAUUGUUUUUUCUUUUUGUUAACCCCCUUCAAAUCUAAUUAUUCAUACUCAAUUUUGACACGAAAGAGCCAUUGUCAUGAAAGGGGGAGGUCCAUCAUUUUGGUACGAUGCCAACUCUACCACAUAACCACCAUUUAGAUAUCUAUCCUUUUAUUUUUGGCAUGUGAACUUAUAGUGGGUGGCUGACCUUGAAUCCACUAGUUAUCAUGUUGAAAUUAACCACCAUUUAGAUAUCUAUCCUUUUAUUUUUGGCAUGUGAACUUACAGUAAGUCCGAUUUAUGUCCAAGGGUCAAAUUUAAAUCUCUCUUCAAUCUAAUGGCUAAGAACUUCCCAACUUUAUUUAAUACUUAAUGUAUCCAAUAAUUGUAAUCGAGUAAUCCAAUGACAAGUACCUUCAAUGACUAUUUUGGCAAAAGAAAAAAGAAAAAAAGAAAUAAUAUAAGUUUGUUAUUUUAUGAUAUAAUAAAUUUAUUAAUACUUUCCUUUUUCAAAAUAUGUAAUUAGUUGUAAUUUCAUUAUAUAAUAUAUAAAUUAAGUUAUUUGCAAUUUUAAAAUAUGUUCAUUUUGUUUUUUUUUAAGUGUUAAUUAAAAAUUAUACAAUUUUGUUUUAUAAAAAGUAUUUAGUACUUUUAAUUUUAUAAAUUACAAACAUUAAUUAUACUAUUUUCUUAAAAUAUUUAGUUUAGUAUGCAUAUUAUUAGUUGUUUUCUCAUAUCUCAAGUUUCAAUCAAAAAAAUAUUUAUGAUUUGUUUUUGUUAAUUUGUGUCUUGUUUUCAAUUUAAUUAAUGAAAAGUUAUUUGAUCAAAAGGUUCAUUACAAACCAAUUUUAAAAAUUUAAUCCUUUAUUAUAUUUUGAUAUUGUUUUGAUAAAAAUGUCUUUAUUAUUUUUUAAAUAUAUUGUAAAUAUUUAAAAUAAUUAAAAAUAUUUAGAUCAAAAAUCGAUUAUUUUUCAAACAAAAAUAUGAAAGUGAUAAAUUUGCAAAUGUGGGGAAUAUUUAAUCCUUUUAAUCGAUUAUUUCAUUAAUGAAGUGGGUAUAAUGAUGAACGCAGACUUGGUUUUACUAGGGCAUGCAGAGGUUUUGCAAGAGAGAGAGAUCAUUUCUCGACUCUGAGAAAUCAAUCUCCUUUUGGCCCGGUGGCGGACUCCAAGUAAAGCCUUGAAGGAGCCUUGCUAACAUCCCUGCACACCCACGCCUUCCAGUACUGAAGGAAAUGAAGCGAAGGUUUGGCUCGUUCAACUCCACUGCUUGAACUGUACUAGCAUUCAGAUGCCGCUCUGGAUUGAAAUUUAGCGGUUCUUCCCAGAUUCUAGGGUUCCGGCCCAGCCCCAGACGGCUCAGAAGGACAUGACUGCCUUUGGGGAUAGAGUACCCAGCAACACUAGUCGGAUUCCUGAACUCGUCUAUCCUUUCCAACCACUCCAUCAAUUUCUUCACUGCUUUGCUCAAAAUCCCUGGUUGCUUGAUCAUUGCCUACUCAAUUGCAUUUGAUGGACUAUCGAAGCCUGCAAGCAUCAACUCCUGCAAAUUAUGGAAGGAUCAUAAUCUCAUGAUUGAUCAAGUUAUUUGCUGGCUAGGAAAUGAUCAUCAUGCAAUGUAGAUCAAAAGGUAAGCACAACACUACUACAAAAAUAAUUUAUGGUGUCAUUUUUAAAAUAAUGACACCAUAGGGUUUAUAAUUAAUAAAGGUGAUACAUCAUAUGAAAAUUCUUCAAUUGAGGUAGUUAGAUUAUGUUAGUUUUAUAUUUAUAGUGUCAUUUUUUGGGAAGUAACAUCAUAUAAAAUAAUUUUUUUUUAAGUAUUAUAACUUAAUGAGCCCACUUUUAUAAUUAAUAAUGAGGGAUAAUGUAUAAAAAGCCCAUUGUUUCCACAUGCCACCCACAAUCCAAAAAAUCUCAGUAUACAAACCUUAUAUAUAAAACCAUAAUCUUCUUCUACCUUUUCUCUUACCUAUAGUCAACACACUUAUAACCGACAUUUUCCACUUUGUGGACUCCCAAGUUAUCCAAAUUCUCUUAGAUCUAUCCUAUUUUUUUUCUUUUAUUAAUAUCAUUAUAUUGAUUGUUUCAGCAUCUUUGUAUUAUGGUUUUUGUGAACUGCAUUUUCUUGAGUUGUAGGGAAGAAAAACUUAGGUUUAAACUUCUAGCAUAGACAAAGAAACUUGUAGAUUAAUUGAUUUUUUAAUAUGAACCAAACACAUGACCGACUUUUUCUGUGUGUAAUAAGGACAGCUAGUAUUCAUGCAUAAAAUCAGCAUCAGAAUUCGUAACUGCAUUUGAUCAGCUAGUUUAGUAAAUCUGUACAACUCAUUCUUUCCUUUAUUUUCACAUAUGUUGUUAUACGUUAGCACAAGUUUAGGAGUAAUUUUAGUUUCUCAAAUCUGUAUUUAUACCUCUUCUUCUAAUAAGAAUUGUGUGAAUCAUUUUGUCUAAACCUCUUUAUGGUAUCAGAGCACACCUCAAAACUCCAACAAGUAUUUCCUGUCUUUCUCGCUUCUGCUAUGGCCACUUCUUCCUCUGAUAGUUUUCCAAUAGCCAUCAAUGCCACCCAGCAAAUUACUGCACGUCUUACACCAACCAACUUCCCUUCAUGGCAUGCUCAAUUUGAGUCUCUCCUCCUCGGCUAUAACCUCUUUGGCUAUGUCGAUGGCACUCAUACCUGCCCACCCCUACCGAUGUCAACUAAUGCAGCUGCCACUACAGCUCAUCACCUUUGGUUCCAUCAGGACAAACUUAUUCUAAGUGCAAUUUUGACUUCAGUGUCCCUAGCUGUGAUACCACUCAUAGCAACCUCCCAAACGUCAUAUCAAACCUGGACAAAACUGACAAAACUGUAUGCUAGUCGAUCCAGGACUCGUGUCAUGCAGCUCAAAGAGGAUCUCACCCUCAUGCAAUGUGGCAAUCGCAGCAUUACAAAGUACCUACACUCUGUAAAAACCAUUGUCGAUGAGCUUGCUCUCAUCGAUGCCCCAUUAUCUCAAGAUGACAUCACCCUAUAUGUUCUUCAUGGCUUAGGAUCAAAUUUUCGUGACAUUGUUGCCCCGAUUCGAGCCCGAGAGUCUUCACUCUCAUUGUUGCAAAAUACUGUCCGAAAUUGAAACCCUCUGAAGCCACUGUGAACUGCACAACUACUACUUCCAGUCCCGACAAACGUUGGCUCAUUGAUUCUAUGGCUUCCCAUAAUAUCACUUCUCAGGUUUCAAAUUUACAAUUUCACUCUGAAUAUGAUGGUACUGAUGAAGUUAUUAUUGGAGAUGGAUCAGGUUUGCCCAUUACUCAUUCUGGUUCUCUUACUCUUUCAUUUCCAAACAGAAAAUUUCAAGUUGAAGAUACUCUAUGUGUUCCUACCAUUAACAAAAACUUGAUAUCUGUUCACCACUACACAAAGCAAAACAAUGUUAUCCUGGAAUUUCACCCAACUUAUUUUCUUGCGAAGGAUUGGAGAACGGGGGAGAUUCUUCUUCAAGGACCGUGUGAAAAUGGAGUCUACCCUCUGGCCUCAUCGCCUGCUGCUACUCCAAUUGCUUUUGUCCAUGAACGCACAUCAGCAGCUGGUUGGCAUCAUCGCCUUGGUCAUCGAUCAUUCAAAGUUGUCACUCGCCUCAUUAGUUCUUUCUCCCUUCCCACCACUUCAUGUCUUUCUGGUUCUAAUAAUUGUCAUUCGUGUUCUAUCAAUAAAGCUCAUCAGUUACCCUUUCAUAAACACGGUCUAACUAGCACAACACCAUUUGAUUUACUUUACACUGAUGUAUGGGGACCUUCUCCCACUCCUAGUCUCAAUGGCCACAGAUAUUAUGUUAUUUUUGUUGAUCACUUUACCAAAUAUGGUUGGUUCUUUCCAUUGCAUCAAAAAUCAGAUGUUAAAACCAUAUUUCCUCAUUUCUACAAAAUGAUUGAAACUCGUUUUAACAUAAAAAUUAAAGGAGUUUAUUCCGAUAAUGGGGGCGAGUUCACUGUUCUUCGACCCUUUUUCACAACCCAUGGCAUUAGUCAUUAUACGACAGCCCCUUAUACACCCCAACAAAAUGGAGUGUCUGAGCGUCGUCAUCUCCAUAUUGUGGAGACAGGUCAAACCCUUCUAAGUCAUGCCUCUCUUCCAUCAGAAUAUUAGGCUUAUGCUUUUGCAACAGCCACAUAUCUAAUCAAUCGACUUCCAUCACCUGUUCUUCAUCAUAUAUCACCUCUUCAAGCAACAACCUCGGUAUGAAAAAUUACGUUCCUUUGGAUGUCUUUGCUUUCCCUUGAUGAAGCCGUAUAACACAAACAAAUUUCAAAAGAAAUCCGUUCCUUGUAUCUUUGUUGGCUACUCUACUAGCCAAAGUGCAUAUCUAUGUCUUCAUCUACAAAGUCAGCGCAUAUACACCUCCAAACACGUAACCUUUGAUGAAUCUGUUUACCCCUUCAAACAGGUUUCCAUGCAAUCACCCACUGACUCAUCCCCAUCAGAAACCUCUUCUUUUUCAGGACCAAUUUUGCAGCUUGCUUCCAGGGAGCUUCCAACAAUCACACGGGCUCAAGGAGAUAUCCCCUCUGCUUCUUCGACUCCAAGUGAAGAUCCAGCUCUUGUGCAACCUCAAGAGGCACCACUUUCCACUUUAGAUCAGGUAACUCUUAGACCUUCUACUUCUGUUUCUCAACCAGAAAAUUCAAUGCCAUCCUCUCCACCACCAUGUCCACGAACCAUCAUCACUCGCUCCAUGAACAAUAUCUUUCGGCCAAAACAACUCCACACCACCACCAAGCACCCCUUACCUGAACCACCCGAACCAAGUUGUGUAAGUCAAGCUCUUAAAGACCCUCACUGGUGCAAGGCUAUGUCAGAAGAAGUGACAACCCUCCUUUAACAUGGGACGUGAGAACUGGUUCCUCCCACUCCUGGCCAGAAUCUUGUUGGGUGUAAAUUUGUGUUUCGGAAGAAACGAAAUCCAGAUGGAACAAUCAGUCGAUAUAAAGCUCGACUUGUCGCUAAAGGAUUUCAUCAACGGCCAGGUAUUGACUACUCUCAAACCUUCAGCCCUGUCGUAAAGCCAGUAACAAUUAGGCUUCUUUUAACCAUUGCUGUCAUGCAUGGCUAGCCCCUUCGUCAGUUAGACAUCAAUAAUGCAUUCUUGCAUGGUAAUCUUGAAGAAACAGUCUUCAUGCAUCAACCUACAGGAUUUGAAGAUCCAUCUCAACCUCAGUAUGUUUGCAAGCUAAAAUAGAGUAUCUAUGGUCUUAAACAAGCCCCAUGACAGUGGUACAAGGCCCUUCGGGAUGCACUUCUCAGCUUUGGUUUUAUUCACUCGGCCACUGACAACUCUUUGUUUAUCUAUAAGUCUCAUGAUAUCUUGUGCUACUGCCUUGUUUAUGUUGAUGACAUAAUUGUCACAAGCAACACACUCAGCUUUGUGAAUAACAUUAUAAACAAGCUUGGCUCUACAUUCUUAGUCAAAGAUAUGGGCUCCUUGCAUUAUUUCUUGGGAAUAGAAGUGAUUCCAAUGCCACAGGGGCUCUUUCUAUCUCAACAUCAGUAUAUAUGGGAUCUCCUUUCACGAACCUCCAUGGAAAAUGCUAAAGAAACACUCACUCCAAUGUCCACUACAGCCAAGCUUACGGUUCAAGAUAAUUUUGAAUGUGUUGACAGCACUGAGUAUCGCAAGAUCAUUGGAGCACUUCAGUAUUUGGGACUCACUCGUCCCGAUAUUGCCUUUGCAGUCAACAGAUUAUCUCAGUUCAUGUAGAAGCCGACAACAAACCAUUGGGCCGCAGCAAAAAGACUACUCAGCUAUCUUAAACAGACCAUGUUUCAUGGUAUCCUUCUCCAAAAUCAUGAUCAAUUCCAACUCAAGACCUAUAGUGAUGUGAAGUGGGCAUUAAAUACGGACACUCGUGUUUCAACCACUACUUUCAUCACAUUCAUUGGUCCUAAUCCAAUCUCAUGGUCUGCACGCAAGCAAAUGGCAGUCUCAAGAUCAUCUAUAGAAGCAGAGUUUCGGGCACUAGCUACUGCCACACAGAAACAGUUUGGCUUCAUUCUCUUAUCAAGGAACUUGGUCUCACUCUCAGAGAAGCACCUCAAAUGUUUUGUGAUAAUAUUGGUGCCAACCAUUUCAGUUUAAAUCCAGUCCAGCACAGACGGAUGAAACACAUUGAAAUUGAUCUCCUCUUUGUACGAGAUCUUGUCAAAAAGGGAACUAUUCGUGUUCAGCACAUCCAUACCAUUGAUCAACUAGCUAAUCUCCUUACAAAAUCACUCUCACAUCAACGCUUUCAACUAUUAAGAUCCAAGAUUGGUGUUGCAGAUGGCACCUCCAUCUUGAGGGGGCAUAUAAGGACAGCUAGUAUUCAUGCAGAAAAUCAGCAUCAGAAUUCGUAACUGCAUUUGAUCAGCUAGUUUAGGAAAUCUGUACAACUCAUUCUUUCCUUUAUUUUCACAUAUGUUGUUAUACGUUAGCACAAGUUUAGGAGUAAUUUUAGUUUCUCAAAUCUGUAUUUAUACCUCUUCUUCUAAUAAGAAUUGCGUGAAUCAUUUUGUCUAAACCUCUUUAUAUUUAUGUGAGAAUGACAGGUACAAAAUUUUGUUGAGAUAUACUGCCCCAUAAUCUUCAUCCUUUCCCUAAAAUGAGAGAGGGAAAAAAAAAAAGGAAUGAUUUUUUUUGUGUGUAUCUAAGUGGGAACAAGAGAUAUAGAAUUUCGUUGAGAUGCAGUGCUGCCACAUGAUCUUUAUCCUCCAUUAAACCCAACAUAUUAAAUCCACUAACUCUCUCCCCAAAAAUGAGUAAAAAAAAAAAAAAGGAAAAAAGUAUGAGUUAAAAAACAAAAACGGAAAAUAUGAUUUUUUUAAUGUGUUUCUAAGGAGAAUGAGAGAUACAUAUUUUUGUUAAGAUGCAUUGCCACGUGUUCUUCAUCCUCUCCAUUAAGCCUAAUAUAUUAAACCUAAUAGCUCUCUCUUUUAAGCUUUCCAAUGAAGUGCCUAUAGUAUCCAACUCAAAAUAAGACAACUUAAGCCCCAUUAGCCAACAACCCAUAUUUUGUGUACAUCUUGAUGAGAUUAUUUUGUGAGAAAAUGUCAUGAAACAAUCCCAAUUUGAUAAUCUAGGCAUGUAUUUGAGUUAAAAAUAAAUUUCUAUUCUAUAGAUCAAAGAAUAAAAUCAUGUUUGAAAAUUAUUUUUAAAAACUUAUUUAGAGCAAAAAUAGUUUUCUAACAUAAAAAUAAUUUUUUAACUGAGAAAAUAUAUUUGAAAUUAUUUGAUAGAAAAUUGGGCAUGUAUUUGACUUAAAAACAAAUUUCUAUUCUAUAGCUCCAAUAAUAAAAUCAUGUUUGAAAAUUAUUCUUAAAAACUUAUUUAGAGCAAAAAUGGUUUUCUAACAUUAAAAUAAUUUUUUAAUUUAGAAAAUAUAUUUGGAAACAGUUGAUAGAAAACUGGGCAUGUAUUUGACUUAAAAAUAAAUUAUUAUUCUAUAGAUCAAAGGAUAAAAUCAUGUUUGAAAAAUAUUCUUAAAAACUUAUUUAGAGUAAAAACAGUUUUCUAACAUAAAAAUAAAUUUUUAACUUAGAAAAUAUAUUUGAAAACAUUUGAUAGAAAACUUUUUUUUUUAAUGUCAAUAAGUUGUCUUUUUGUUAAUUUAAUUGUAAUCAAUUUUCUUAUACGCAUUUAAAAGUAUAUAUUAUCAUAUUUAGUAAUAUUUUGAUUAUUAGGCAAAUUAUCAUUUUUGAGAGGAAUUUUUGUAGCUCUCAUAAUUAUAAUUGUAUUUUAAUAACCACUUCCAAUAAAUAAAAAAAAGAAAAAAAAAGUUAGACAAUUAUCAAAAUCUGAUUUUUAGGAUUUUAAAAAAAUCUACAAGCCAAAACUAUUUAUAAUUUUGAUCAUGUGAGAACACUUCUUUUUUAAUACUUUGAGUUAUUUUGUUUUUUUUUUUUCUUAGUAUCUGAAAGUAUAAAAGAAUUUCUCAUAUAUGUGCAUGUGUGUUCUCAUGGUUGUUUAUGUCAUGUCUUAUUAAAGAAUGAAGUGAAGUUUCCUUUGAGUGGAAGGUUUUAGUCCACGCUAGUCAGUGGACACGGUAUGAAUAGUUUGGGUGGGUUGUAUCUAUGGUAAAAAAAUAAUAAAAGACAACUUUUGCAAGUCUCCAAGUUGGUUGAGAUACAUGAUGUCAUGUUGACUAGACCUUGACUUUUGCAAGUCUCCUAGUUUCCAACUUUUUUUUCUUUUUUUUUUUUAAUAUUAAGGUGUGGGGCCAUGAACUCCUUUCUUUCCUUUUUAAAUAACAAAAAGGAAGAUAAUUUUAUUGUGAGAAGGCUAUUGCUACCAAUUGUGUUCACGUCGAGAAUUUUUUAAUUUACGGAGGCCAUAUAUAUAUAUAUUUAUGUCUAAUUUAGGAGGGUAAUUUGGGUUUGUCUAAUCUAUUCCAUUUAAUCAUACUAUACAAUCAUUUUUUUUUAUUUGGAUUAUUCUUGUAUUAAAUUUCUUCAACCCAAAUUUUGUUGAAAAGUUACAAUGUAUUAUUGAAAAUAUGACUUGGUAGUUGAUUAUGGAUAUGUGUCAUUUUUAGUAUAAAAAAAAAAUAAAUCUAUAACAUUUUAUAUUGAUAAUAUAUUAUUCUUGUAACAGGUUUGAAUAAUAAGCAAGUCAUUGUCAAAGAAGUUAUUGAAAGUGUAAGUGUACAUUUAUUUAUUGCAUGCUCUUAUAUUGUAUCAAUUGUAAGGAAGAUAAAAUUACCUUGUAAAGGUAAUUAAAUCUUUCUAUAUUUUAAAAACUUUUUUCCUAUAUACUAUGCUUUUGAAGCUUGUUUAAUUAAACAUAUUAGUUAUUUGACAAACUUUUCACAAAUGUUUUGUAUACUUAUGUGUUCUAUUUUGUUCCAUAGUUUUAUUGCAUAAUACUAAUGUAUAUUUUUUCACAAACUUUUUACAACUAUUUUGUGUACUAAUGCAUAUUAAGUUUUGUUCUUGCCUAUAUAAGCUACAUUUAGUUAUUUAAAUAUAUCUAAUAUUAUGUUGAAGAAAGAUGUACUUACUUAACUUUUUUUAUUCUAAAUAUUAACAAGUUUUUCAGUUCUCUUGUCUCGAGAUUGAAUGUCAAAAGAUAGAAGGUCAGUUGAGUAUGAUGAAAGAGUUGAAAACUUUAUCAAUUUUGCAUUAGCACAUUCAAUCAACCAUUCCCCUAUAAAAUGCCCAUGCUUACGUUGUGCAAAUCUGUUAUGUCAAACUCUUCAAGUCAUUACAGAACAUUUGUUCUUUAAUGGAAUCGAUCUUAGUUAUCGAGUAUGGUAUUGGCAUGGAGAAAAUGGACCCAGUGGAGGAUUUUCAAAUGUCUCACAACAACAUUAUGACAAAUGCAAGUAUAAUGAUGUUGUUGACACAAUAGAUAUGGUUAAUGCUGCACAAGUUAAUUGUAUGAAUGAUCCCUAAGUGUUUGGAAGGUUACUUGAAGACGCAGAAAAACCUUUAUAUCUUGGAUGCAUGAAAUACACAAAGUUGUCAGCAUUGGUAAAACUUUACGACUUGAAAGCAUGUUAUGGUUGGUUUGACAAAGGAUUCUCAAAAUUGCUUCAGUUGCUUGGAGAUAUGUUGCCAUUGAAUAAUGAGAUGUCAUUGUCCAUGUAAGAAGCUAAAAAUACUUUUAGUGCACUUGGGAUGAAUAUAACAAAAUUCAUGCAUGUUCUAAUGAUUGUAUUUGGUAUAGAAACCAGUAUAAGGAUGCUAUUGCAUGCCUAACUUGUGGAAAGUCAAGGUGGAAGAUAAACAAUGAGGGGAAAAAGAUUAAGAAGGGGCUUCCUUCAAAGGUUUUAUGGUAUUUCCCACCAAUCCCUAGAUUCAAAAGGAUGUUCCAAUCCUCAAAAACCGCUAAACAUCUUAUGUGGCAUGCCAAGGAUAAAGAAUAUGACGGUAAACUAUGCCACCCAUCAGACUCCUUAGCGUGGAAACUAGUUGACCAUAUGUGGCUUGAUUUUGCUUCUGAACCGAGGACCUUAGACUAGCACUCUCAACAGAUGGUACAAAUCUUCAUAAGUCUAUAAGCAAUAGACAUAGUUGUUGGCCUGUUAUACUGAUCAUAUACAACCUUCCUCCUUGGUUGUGCAUGAAAAAGAAGUUUAUGAUGCUAUCAUUAUUGAUCUCAGGACCACGACAACCUGGUAAAAAUAUAGAUGUUUACUUGAGUCCAUUGGUAGAUGACCUUAAAACUUUGUGGGAAAAAAAAGUUAAGACUUAUGAUGCACACUUGCUUGAGGUUUUUACUUUAAAGGUCAUCAUUUUAUGGACAAUCAGUUAUUUCCCUACAUAUGAAAACUUGGCCAAUUGCACCGUGAAAGGAUAUUAUGCAUGUCCAAUAUGUGGAGAAGGAACAUAUUCCCAAAGAUUAAAGUAUGGUAGGAAGAACUUGUAUAUGGGUCACCGACGAUUUCUUCCACGUAACCAUCCCUAUUGGAGACAAAAGAAGGCACUCAAUGGUGAACAAGAUUUUAGAAUUCCUCCUAAAAUUUUGAGUGGAGAAGAAAUACUUGAAAAAGUUGAUCUCAUUCCUAUUUCUUGGGGAAAAAUGAAGAUAAAAUCUCUUGAACUGAUGUGAACACAAAUUGUUGGAAAAAAAAGUCCAUAUUUUUUUAGUUAGAAUAUUGGAAAUAUCUUCAUAUCUUUCACAACUUGGAUGUUAUGCACAUCGAAAAGAAUGUCUGUGAGAGUAUUAUUGGUCCUUUGUUUAACAUCCUAGGAAAAAAAAAAUGGACUUAAUGCUCAACUUGACCUAGUUGAAAUGGGUUUAAAGUCUGAACUUUUCCCAAGAGUUGACUUGAAGCGGACCUAUCUUCCCCCUGCAUGUUAUUCACUAUCCAAACAUAUAUGACAAAAAAUUAGUUUGUCAAACAUUGUCUAAUUUGAAGGUCCCUGAGGGGUAUUGCUCAAAUUUGAGAAAUCUUGUCUCCUUAGAGGAAUUGAAGUUAUUUGGUUUAAGAUCCCAUGACUACCAUGCACUUAUGCAACAACUAUUGCUAGUGGCAUUACGUUUUGUUUUGCUAAAGCAUGUGAGAUAUACUAUAUCAAGAUUGUGUAUCUUCUUCAAUCAAUUAUGUACAAAAAUGGUUGAUGUGCCAAAAUUGGAUGAAGUACACAAUGAGUUAGUGGUCACGCUGUGCUUACUUGAAAAGUAUUUUUCACCUUCAUUUUUUGAUAUUAUGCUUCAUCUAGUAGUGCAUUUGAUAAGGGAGGUGUGACUAUGUGGUUCAGCUUACUUUAGGUCGAUCUACCCAUUUGGGAGGUAUAUGAAAGUUCUUAAAGAAUUGUUCGCAAUCAUAAUUGGCCUGAAGGAUGCAUUACUAAGUGCUAUUUAGUAGAAAAAGCUAUCGAAUUUUGUACUGAAUAUUUAUUAGGGACUUAUGCAAUUGGAAUUCCAAAAGCAACAAUUAUGACAACAAAUUUCGUAGACCUAUUGAUUACUACUCAAAAAGUGCUAUUUGAUAGCUUGUAAUUAAUCCUUUUAAACACUUUUGAGUAGUAGUUAUUGCCUUUUAACCCAAUUAACAUGUUAAGGACCCUUGCAAUCAUUUCUUAUCAAAUUGUGUAAGUUUUGGUGUUUUUGUUAGUAAUUUGAUCACCAAAACAAUCCAAGAUUGAGGAGAGUUAUUUGGAAUCCAUGGCAAAGCAAUGAAGAGCUCAAAUUCAUGAAGAACCAAGCUUUGGAGCUCCAUAGCCCUUUGCCAAAGUCGUUCAAAGUAUGCAAGGAAAGAGCACUGGAGAGAGGAAAAACAGAGUGAAGAAAACAGAGGAAAGCUAGAUGUAGUCUUCUUUCACACUUUUGGAGCAAUUUCCGAAGUCCAUUUUCUACAUUCGAUAUACCAUUUCAAAGCUCAGGAAGUCAAGAAUCCAAUGCUUCAAACGGUGCAUGAUUCGGAGUUGAAACGAAGGAGUUACAGCCAUUGCAAGCAGAUCACUCCAAAGUGUUGCGAAAUCAGCCUUUUGUUGCGAGAAUUUCGCAGCCUUUUUGUACAGUGCUAUGGAAUUCCUCCUAAAGUUGCCCGAUAUAUGCCGCAAGCUGGAAGCUGAGAACAUCAAGGUGGAAGCCAACUUCGCAGCCCUACGAGAAUAACUUGUUGAUGCGAAAAUAUUUCGCAGCCCUCUUGAGUGUCUGCGAAAUCUCGCAGACACCAUUUUCACCUGCGAAAUGUUCCUGGAGCUUCCCGAUAUUUUUGCACCGACUCUUUUGGAUAUUUUUCUUCAGAUAUUUUUGUAUAAAUUUCCAUUCUUCUCCUUGUAAGCCACGAACCAUAAGAUUUCUUAGUUAGGAAGGUUGGAAAAACAUCUCUAUAUAUAUUCCUUUGCAUCCACUGUAAUCAUAUAUCAUAUAUAGAAUAUACAGAGCCUUGCUCUGUUUUUCCUUCUCUUUCAUUUUUCAUUUAUUUUUAUUUCUAGCCAACCAAACUUUGAGGAUUUUUCCACAGAGGAUGAGAGGCUAAGCUUUUUGUCUCUUGGAGUGAGGAAAGCCGGGUAAGUUUCCACAUGCAUAAUUUGGAAGUUUUGUUGUUUUAGUUUUUAAUGAAGAGAAAGUGUGACCCGUUAGUGAUUUCUAUGUUUUUAGUUAACUUAAAACGCCUUUAAAUCACCUGGGCCAACACUUGGUAAGGCAAGUGAUUUCCAACCAUGGAAAUGCACUAGUUUACCCCUUGCGAGCCUUUGGGAGGUGACUUGAAGGUAGGAUUUUCUAGAAUAGCCAACACUUGGUAAGCUUUUGGACUCCAAGGAGACAUCCAUUAGUUAUCUCUUGCGAGCUUUUGACGGGUAAUCCAAGGUUAAAGAUCACCUUGAAUGGCAAGUGCUAGGUGAGAGGUAUGAGUCAUUGUAAGAUGCAUCAGUGAGAGGGAUUUAGUGAUUGAACCCAUUAAUGGGAAGCAUCUGUACAACACCGGUUAGAGAAUUAACUAUAUGUUAAUUCUCUAAUGCGAGGAAAAUAAACAAGUGACCGGAACUCUCCAUUUUGUAUGAGGAACAAGCCUAGUGAUCUGAACUCCAAGAAACACUUUUCUUUGUAGUUAAAACCAGUUACUAUUUUUUGUUAGCUUAAAACCAAACCUUUUUCAUUUAAACAUCUUUAUGUUUCUUUUAAAGCUAACCUUGAAAUGAAAAGGCACCAAUUCAGCUUUGAAUUGAUAUCAUUUGUGAAGUGAAAACCCAUCCCAGUGAACGAUCCUAGAGCCACUAUGCUAUAGUAGCUUUGUCUUUGCUACCCUAGUUCAUGGUGUAAUAGGUUAUAAAUUUUGUUGAUUACUCCCUCAAUCAAGGAGCACCAGCUGGACACGAAUCAGCUGAGACACCAAGUGGGCNNNNNNNGUUCAUGGUGUAUUAGGUUAUAAAUUUAGUUGUUUACUCCCUCAAUCAAGGAGCACCAGCUUGACACGAAUCAGCUGAGACACCAAGUGGGCACGAAUCAAAUGGCGCCAUUUGCUUCGUCCGUAGCAGUGGCAGUGGCAAUGGCACCAUUUGAUUCGAGGUUCAAUCCCAGGCAACGGCGCCAUUUGAUUCGUCCCUAGCAGUGGCAGUGGCAAUGGCACCAUUUGAUUCGAGGUUCAAUCCCCGGCAGCGGCGCCAUUUGAUUCGUGUCCACUUGGUGUCUCAGCUGAUUCGUGUCCAGCUGGUGCUCCUUGAUUGAGGGAGUAAUCAACAAAAUUUAUAACCUAUUACACCAUGAACUAGGGUAGCAAAGACAAAGCUACUAUAGCAUAGUGGCUCUAGGAUCGUUCACUGGGAUGGGUUUUCACUUCACAAAUGAUAUCAAUUCAAAGCUGAAUUGGUGCCUUUUCAUUUCAAGGUUAGCUUUAAAAGAAAACAUAAAGAUGUUUAAAUGAAAAAGGUUUGGUUUUAAGCUAACAAAAAAUAGUAACUAAUUUUAACUACAAAGAAAAGUGUUUCUUGGAGUUCAGAUCACUAGGCUCGUUCCUCAUACAAAAUGGAGAGUUCCGGUCACUUGUUUAUUUUCCUCGCAUUAGAGAAUUAACAUAUAGUUAAUUCUCUAACCGGUGUUGUACAGAUGCUUCCCAUUAAUGGGUUCAAUCACUAAAUCCCUCUCACUGAUGCAUCUUACAAUGACUCAUACCUCUCACCUAGCACUUGCCAUUCAAGGUGAUCUUUAACCUUGGAUUACCCGUCAAAAGCUUGCAAGAGAUAACUAAUGGAUGUCUCCUUGGAGUCCAAAAGCUUACCAAGUGUUGGCUAUUCUAGAAAAUCCUACCUUCAAGUCACCUCCCAAAGGCUCGCAAGGGGUAAACUAGUGCAUUUCCAUGGUUGGAAAUCACUUGCCUUACCAAGUGUUGGCCCAGGUGAUUUAAAGGCGUUUUAAGUUAACUAAAAACAUAGAAAUCACUAACGGGUCACACUUUCUCUUCAUUAAAAACUAAAACAACAAAACUUCCAAAUUAUGCAUGUGGAAACUUACCCGGCUUUCCUCACUCCAAGAGACAAAAAGCUUAGCCUCUCAUCCUCUGUGGAAAAAUCCUCAAAGUUUGGUUGGCUAGAAAUAAAAAUAAAUGAAAAAUGAAAGAGAAGGAAAAACAGAGCAAGGCUCUGUAUAUUCUAUAUAUGAUAUAUGAUUACAGUGGAUGCAAAGGAAUAUAUAUAGAGAUGUUUUUCCAACCUUCCUAACUAAGAAAUCUUAUGGUUCGUGGCUUACAAGGAGAAGAAUGGAAAUUUAUACAAAAAUAUCUGAAGAAAAAUAUCCAAAAGAGUCGGUGCAAAAAUAUCGGGAAGCUCCAGGAACAUUUCGCAGGUGAAAAUGGUGUCUGCGAGAUUUCGCAGACACUCAAGAGGGCUGCGAAAUAUUUUUGCAUCAACAAGUUAUUCUCGUAGGGCUGCGAAGUUGGCUUCCACCUUGAUGUUCUCAGCUUCCAGCUUGUGGCAUAUAUCGGGCAACUUCAGGAGGAAUUCCAUAGCACUGUACAAAAAGGCUGCGAAAUUCUCGCAACAAAAGGCUGAUUUCGCAACACUUUGGAGUGAUCUGCUUGCAAUGGCUGUAACUCCUUCGUUUCAACUCCGAAUCAUGCACCGUUUGAAGCAUUGGAUUCUUGACUUCCUGAGCUUUGAAAUGGUAUAUCGAAUGUAGAAAAUGGACUUCGGGAAGUGCUCCAAAAGUGUGAAAGAAGACUGCAGCUAGCUUUCCUCUGUUUUCUUCACUCUGUUUUUCCUCUCUCCAGUGCUCUUUCCUUGCAUACUUUGAACGACUUUGGCAAAGGGCUAUGGAGCUCCAAAGCUUGGUUCUUCAUGAAUUUGAGCUCUUCAUUGCUUUGCCAUGGAUUCCAAAUAACUCUCCUCAAUCUUGGAUUGUUUUGGUGAUCAAAUUACUAACAAAAACACCAAAACUUACACAAUUUGAUAAGAAAUGAUUGCAAGGGUCCUUAACAUGUUAAUUGGGUUAAAAGGCAAUAACUACUACUCAAAAGUGUUUAAAAGGAUUAAUUACAAGCUAUCAAAUAGCACUUUUUGAGUAGUAAUCACUCCCCCCAACCGACAUAUUGCUAGUCCCUUAGCAAUGAAGGAGAGAAAAAUAAAAAUAAACAAUACUAUAAUUUACAACAUCAUGCUGAUCAAAAAACAAUUUUCAAGUGGCAUGAUGAUCUAACUCUCACAUGGAACAUUAAAGAAAUAAAACUCAAACUUCAACAAGAGUUAUCAAAUAACUUGUCUAAUCACAAUUCUUAAAGAGAAGGCAUUAUGCAAAUUUAAGCUUUAAAAUCAUUUCCACUUCCAAAGGAUCAAACCUUACUCUUCCACAAAAAUCUAAGUGUUAUUUAUUAGCUUCCGAAUAUAGUAUGUUGAACUAAUCUCUCCCCCUCAACCUAGUUCUUUUUCAAAGCUUAGCAAACUAAUCAACCUCCAAUAGGCUAAGAACGCACCUCUUUUUUCAUAAUUUUUUUCAUUGUAGGAGUACAAGGCUUAAAGGUAUUCUUUUCUAAAUUGUCCAUGUAACGGGGGUCCAUCGAUGACUCCCAACCAAUUAAGGUUUAGGGCAUCAAGCUUUAAGGAUCUUUCAACCACUAACUCCUCGGAUUUUACCCCGGACUUUUGAGAAUGAAUUUUUAAUACCCAAGCACCUACAGUAUGUUAAACUCCACCUAUUCACCCUUGUAACGAGCAUUGAGGUCGGUGACUCCCAACCAAUGAAGGCUUAGGGCACCAGGUUUUAAAGAUUUUCACCAUAUACCCCUCAGACCUUGCUCGGGUUUCAAGGCAAGCAAACAUUUUUUUUUUUUUUUUUUCAAAGACUCAUUGGCCUUUUAUAAGGUGUCCCAACACUAUUAAAUGAGGUCAAAGGUACCAAGUCUAAAAUUUUCCUAAGUCAAGAGGGAAAUAGUUUUUCAUCUUAUACUCGGAACCUAUUGUGCACAGUGUGUGGAUAGCUUAAAGUGGAAGAACUAAGGUUGACUUCAAUAGAAGUUUCAACAAUUCAUCAACUUUAAUAAGCAUAAUACAAAAUCUAAGUCAAGUAAAAAGACAAAAAUUCAAUUUCUCCAAUUUUAGUUUGAAAAUUUUUCCUUAAUAACCAUGGAGAGUAGAAUAAAAACUUUAAAAUUUUUUUAAAUUAAGCAAAAAACAACUAAAUUACCAAAAUAACUUAGCAUUAUUAACAAUACUUACUUCCUCAACUCUCCCCCCAACCAAGCUGAACAUUGUCCUCAAUGUGACAAAAGCGAUUGAAAAAUAGGGAGGAAGUGGUACCUCUUGAGUGACAUGGAGUCUGAGUUGUAUAGGAGAAACCACAUGUUUCAAAGAAAACAUAAGAGUUAGUGAGUAGAAGAAAUAGAAAAAUGCCAAGUUUAAACAAAAAUGAUGUCUAUGUAUGAUGUAUCAUCAGUAACACAUCCAAUUCCAAAAUAUAAGACAUCAAAACAUGGAAUUAUCUAUACUAAUAUAAUAUGUAAAGACAAAAAUAAAGAGAUGAUCAAGCAAUGGUAAGGUCCUGUGGAGCUGAUGCAUCUAUGGUGGCCUCUUGAGUGGGUUGGAUAAGGACUUUGACCUCUGUUCUGGUAGUCUCCUUAGGUGGCAUAGUCUCCUCAACUGGAGCUCUCAGUUGGUAGCUAUGGGAUUUGAUGGUUUAAGGAGGUAAGAAAUGGAGUGAGAGGCUUGGUGUGUGUGAUCCCAGGGUAUGCAGGGCUCUCCUUUUCAGAUGCAUGUUUGCAGGGCUCUAUUGGCAUUUUAGUAACUUCCCUUGGCUUUGCAAAGUGUUUUUGCAAAUCACCCUCCAUUUCACAAGUCAAUUUUGCAAUUUAAAGUCCAUUUUGAAGCUUGGAGGUGAUUUCACAGCCCUUUCGAAGCUUGGAGAUCAUUUCGCAGAAAAGUGGCAUGUUCACUGACCAUUUUUGAAGCUUGGAGCAUUUUCGCAGCCAUUCUGAAGCUUGGAGAUCAUUUUGCAGAAAAGUGGCAUUUUCGCAGACCAUUUUUGAAGCUUGGAGCAUUUUCGCAGCCAUUUCGAAGUUUGGAGAUCAUUUCACAGGCAAUGGGCAAUUCCGCAGCCCAUUUCUGAAGCUUGGAGCAUUUUCGCAGCGGGGGGUGGAUUUCACAGAGGAGGGGAAUUCUCGCAGCCCAUUUCGUAGCUUAAAAGUAAUUUCAUAGCUCAAAGGUGAUUUCGCAGCCAUAUCGCAGCUUCAAAAUGAGGGGAACUGUGCUGCAAAUGGCACUCGUGUGCCAAAAAGUGGUUUCGUAGCUGCGAAACACCCUUCCAAAUGGCGUCUCGGCUGCGAAAUUCCCGUUCAGCUUUGCGCGCUUGUCUUCAAAUGACCAUAACUUCUUUAUUUCAAAUCCAAAUCGAGUACCGUUUGAAGCUAUGGACUCCUGACUUCCCAAGAUUUGAAACGAGAUAUCAUAUGCAUAAUUUGAGCUCCAGGAAGUGCUUCAAAAAUGUGUCCAACAGUAGCAAAAUUGAGGUGCGACAUUUCCGCUCAUGGUUUGCACAGUCAUCUUCAAACAGCCAUAACUUUUCUGUUUCAAAUCCAAAUCGAGCACCAUUUGAAGAUAUGGACUCCUGACUUCCCAAGCUUUCCAACGAGAUAUUGCAUGCAUAAUUUGAACUUCGGGAAGUGAUCGAGAUGUGCCCAACAAUUGCCAAAAUGAGGGUGCGGCUGUGAAAUUGGGAUUUUUCAAUUUUGGGUUUCGCAGCCAUUUUCGCAGCUGCGAAAUGGCACUCGUGUGCCAAAACCAGCUUCGCAAUUGCGAAAUACCCUGCGGAAUGGGGCUUUGGCUGCCAAAAAAAAUGAAUUUUUUUUUUUUUUUUUUUUUUGGUUUCGCAGCCAUUUUCGCAGCUGCGAAAUGAGGGUUACUGUGCUGCGAAAUGGCACUCGUGUGCCAAAAGUUGGCUUCGCAGCUGCCAAACACCCUUCCAAAUGGAGCUUUCCCUACGAAAUGGAGGAUUUCAUGCUUUGGUGGUUCGCAGCCGCUUUCGCAGCUGCGAAAUGGGGGCUCCUGUGCUGCGAAGUGGCACUCAUAUGCCAAAAUUGGUUUUGCAGCUGCCAAAAUUUUCGCAAAGAGGGCUAUUGGGUUGCGAACUGGUUUCGCAGCAAAAUUUCGAUUUCGUAGAGGCUGCGAUAUCUCGCAGACCCCUGUUUUUCCCCUAUUUCUCCCCUGUUUUCGCUCCGUUUGACUCCGAUUUUGCUCCGAUUUUUUUCCUUCAAUUUCUUUGCAAUUCCUCUUGAUUUUGAUCAUCCAAAAACCUAUAUUACAUCAAAACAAACUAGAAUUAAAACAUUUAAAUCAAAAUUAAAGCAUUGAAAUCAAAAUUAAAACAAGUAAAAAAAAAACAAAACAAAAAGAUAUGGACUAGCUAGUCUUUAAAAAGACUAAGUCCAUCAAAAAAUUUGCUCCUGAUUUAGCUUGCCCGGAUCCCAUAUGAAGCUUGCAUCUCUCACUUGGGGCUUUCUCUGUAUGAUUUUCUCAUACAAAGCUUGGAGAAAAGUUAGAGGCACGUGUUUCAUCAUCAAUUCUUCCUUGAUGACUAUCCUCUGUGGUUCUUCAUCUAUAUAGUCAUCUUUCUCUGUACUUUUCCCCUUUUUCUUUCCUUUGAUUUCCUCCCUCUUUUCUUUCUCUGUUUCACUAUCUACCUUAUGCUCUAGCUUGCAUGUGGGCAGAUCAACCUCUUUACCACUCCUCAGAGUGAUCACUUCUUCAAUUUCCUUCACCAUUGAAGAUUCUCCCUCUUUAGUCUCCAUUUCAUGGAUACUCAUGGAAUUUUGAUAAGGUUGAGAAGGAGAGUUUUCUUUCUCUUGCAUUGUUUUGAGGUUGGCAAACCUUGAGAUUGAAUCUUGGAGAAUAUCUAACUUCUGAGCCAUAUCAUUUUGCAUUACAUCCAUCCUUUAUUCAAAGUACUCUCCAUUCUGUCAAUUCUUUGAUUGAUUUGAGCAUUGAUGGCUUCUUGCUUUCCAAUAAAAUCUCCCACGACCUUGCAAAGAUUCACCAUAGCUUGUUCAAGGAUUGAGGCUUGCUGUGGUGCUUGAGCAGGUUGCUGAUACUGAGGUGGCUGUGGUUUCCAAGAGAAAUUUGGAUGGUCCCUCCAAUUGGAAUUGUGGGUGUUGCAAUCACCAAACAUUUCCCUCUCGGAUGGAAUGGUAGGACACUCAUCCACCAAGUGCUCAUAUGAUCGACAAAUGGCACAAGGCAUAGCUUGCAAUGGUGUUUAAAAGAUGGUUUGCACUUCUUGCAUCUGGUUCAUUUCUAGCUCAUCCAAUCUCCUUUCCAUAGCUGCAAUCUCUGCCUUCAUGUCCAUGCCGUCAUUCAAAAUAUACAUCUCACCCUUAGCUUUAGGUUGAGACGUCAUUCUUCCCAUAUCUCUAGCAUUUGGUUCAUCCCAUCCUCUUGAAAAUUCAGCCACAUAACUCAUGAAGUUCAUGGCUUCCUCUGCUAUGUGGUUCAAUAUGGCAUGCACAACUAGCAAUUUGUGAUUUAAAAACAGAGAACACAAAAGAAAACAAAAGAAAAACAAUUCAAAGAAAGAAAAUUAAGGUAAACUAAAGACUAAAUAAAAGGUAUACUAAAAUAUGAACAACAAAGAAAUAAAAAGGGUUAGUGAAAGGAAAAGAAAAGUCACCAAACUUGUGAUGAAGAUCACAAGUACUCUAGAAAGGUGCAUUGUAAAGUGGCACCAUCCCCGGCAACAGCGCCAUUUGAUUCGUGCCCACUUGGUGUCUCAGCUGAUUCGUGUCCAGCUGGUGCUCCUUGAUUGAGGGAGUAAUCAACAAAAUUUAUAACCUAUUACACCAUGAACUAGGGUAGCAAAGACAAAGCUACUAUAGCAUAGUGGCUCUAGGAUCGUUCACUGGGAUGGGUUUUCACUUCACAAAUGAUAUCAAUUCAAAGCUGAAUUGGUGCCUUUUCAUUUCAAGGUUAGCUUUAAAAGAAAACAUAAAGAUGUUUAAAUGAAAAAGGUUUGGUUUUAAGCUAACAAAAAAUAGUAACUAAUUUUAACUACAAAGAAAAGUGUUUCUUGGAGUUCAGAUCACUAGGCUCGUUCCUCAUACAAAAUGGAGAGUUCCGGUCACUUGUUUAUUUUCCUCGCAUUAGAGAAUUAACAUAUAGUUAAUUCUCUAACCGGUGUUGUACAGAUGCUUCCCAUUAAUGGGUUCAAUCACUAAAUCCCUCUCACUGAUGCAUCUUACAAUGACUCAUACCUCUCACCUAGCACUUGCCAUUCAAGGUGAUCUUUAACCUUGGAUUACCCGUCAAAAGCUUGCAAGAGAUAACUAAUGGAUGUCUCCUUGGAGUCCAAAAGCUUACCAAGUGUUGGCUAUUCUAGAAAAUCCUACCUUCAAGUCACCUCCCAAAGGCUCGCAAGGGGUAAACUAGUGCAUUUCCAUGGUUGGAAAUCACUUGCCUUACCAAGUGUUGGCCCAGGUGAUUUAAAGGCGUUUUAAGUUAACUAAAAACAUAGAAAUCACUAACGGGUCACACUUUCUCUUCAUUAAAAACUAAAACAACAAAACUUCCAAAUUAUGCAUGUGGAAACUUACCCGGCUUUCCUCACUCCAAGAGACAAAAAGCUUAGCCUCUCAUCCUCUGUGGAAAAAUCCUCAAAGUUUGGUUGGCUAGAAAUAAAAAUAAAUGAAAAAUGAAAGAGAAGGAAAAACAGAGCAAGACUCUGUAUAUUCUAUAUAUGAUAUAUGAUUACAGUGGAUGCAAAGGAAUUUAUAUAGAGAUGUUUUUCCAACCUUCCUAACUAAGAAAUCUUAUGGUUCGUGGCUUACAAGGAGAAGAAUGGAAAUUUAUACAAAAAUAUCUGAAGAAAAAUAUCCAAAAGAGUCGGUGCAAAAAUAUCGGGAAGCUCCAGGAACAUUUCGCAGGUGAAAAUGGUGUCUGCGAGAUUUCGCAGACACUCAAGAGGGCUGCGAAAUAUUUUCGCAUCAACAAGUUAUUCUCGUAGGGCUGUGAAGUUGGCUUCCACCUUGAUGUUCUCAGCUUCCAGCUUGCGGCAUAUAUCGGGCAACUUCAGGAGGAAUUCCAUAGCACUGUACAAAAAGGCUGUGAAAUUCUCGCAACAAAAGGCUGAUUUCGCAACACUUUGGAGUGAUCUGCUUGCAAUGGCUGUAACUCCUUCGUUUCAACUCCGAAUCACGCACCGUUUGAAGCAUUGGAUUCUUGACUUCCUGAUCUUUGAAAUGGUAUAUAGAAUGUAGAAAAUGGACUUCGGUAAGUUCUCCAAAAGUGUGAAAGAAGACUGCAGCUAGCUUUCCUCUGUUUUCUUCACUCUGUUUUUCCUCUCUCCAGUGCUCUUUCCUUGCAUACUUUGAACGACUUUGGCAAAGGGCUAUGGAGCUCCAAAGCUUGGUUCUUCAUGAAUUUGAGCUCUUCAUUGCUUUGCCAUGGAUUCCAAAUAACUCUCCUCAAUCUUGGAUUGUUUUGGUGAUCAAAUUACUAACAAAAACACCAAAACUUACACAAUUUGAUUAGAAAUGAUUGCAAGGGUCCUUAACAAGUUAAUUGGGUUAAAAGGCAAUAACUACUACUCAAAAGUGUUUAAAAGGAUUAAUUACAAGCUAUCAAAUAGCACUUUUUGAGUAGUAAUCACCUAUAAUUAGUGGUCGUUCUACCAUCAUUGUUCAUAAAUCGUGGUUACAAGCACAUCAUUAUCUAUUAGAGAAUACAACUAUCGUCCAACCAUACACUGAGUAAGAAAAACAUACCUUUAUCUUUUUAUAAUUUCAUAACAUAAUGAUGAAAUCCUAAGUUUGCAUUCCUUGUCUUUAACGUCAUAGGGAACACAUGAAUUGGUUGAGGUCUCAAUACCCUCGACAAUCUAAUAGACAAAUUUGGUUGCAAGAAGAACAUAUGAGUUGUUUUACAUAUUGGCUUAAAGAAACGGUAAUCUCUUAGUUUUUAGAAAAAUUUUCAAUAUGUUGAAAACAUCACAAGUUUUCAAUAUGUUUUGAUUAUACAUAGGUUGAAGAGGCUAUCCAUAAUGGGCAAGAUAUUCCCGACACACUUAGGUGGUUAGCACAUGGCCCUACUCUCCAGGUAGUCAAAUAUCCUAGAUAUAUCGUUAAUGAGUGUCGUUACCAUAUUAAGAAACGCGAUAUGACAUGCAUCACCCAAAAUAGUGGUGUUAGCAUUUUAGCAAGGACUAUGCAAAUUGCCAAUUCUAAGGAUAAGAACCUAGUUUGUGGUGAACUUUGCUUUUAUGGGGUCAUUAAUGAGAUAUGAAAUCUUGAUUACAACAUGUUCACAAUUCUAAUUUUCAAGUGUGAUUAGGUUGACAACAAGAAUGGUAUAAAAGUUGAUGAACUUAGGUUCACAUUAGUUGACUUCUCCAAAAUAGGUCACAAAUUGGAUCCAUUUAUUUUAGCAUCACAAGCCAAGCAAAUCUUCUAUGUUGAAGAUCAACUUGAUCCUAAAUGGUCAAUAGUUCUCUCAAUUCCUCCAAAAGAUUUCAAGAACAUAGAAGGACUAGAUGACUUCACCAAUAAUUGCAUGGAACAUCACCCCUUUAUAAGUUCAAUGCCAGAAUUUGAAUCAUUUGAUGCUAUGGAUGAAUCAUAGGCAAUACACAUGAGAGAAAACUGUGAGGGCAUAUGGAUUGAAAAUAAUUAAAUAACAUAUUGUACCCUUGAAUGAGAUAUAAUAAGGCAUUUCACUUAUUAGUUUUCAUGAGUUGCACAUUAACUUAGCUUCUAUAUAUUGCUCAUGAUAUAUCUAUAUAUAUUAAUCAUCCUAAAUUUCUUUCAUGCAUCAUAAACAUAUGUUAUUCAAAGGUACCACUUCAAUCUUCAUUCAACUAUCUUUUUGUUGUCCAUAGAACUAGAUUUAUAUUAUUUUUUAUUAUCAUGUUUUGAUUUUAUGCUCACAUAACUUGAAACUCUCAUUCCUAAAUUUCUUUUUCAUUAAAACUAUAAAUCAUAAUUGAAACUAUGCACUAAUUUAUUUUAUUAUUAUCCUCACAAAUAAAUUCUUCAUUAUUGAUAAGAAAUCAAAAAACAAGACAAACUUUGAAAGAAAAUUUCAAAAAAUAUAUUUGUGAAUGACCAAUUUAAUUAUAGAAAAUAUAUGCAAGGCUAUACUAAUCUUGCUUUUGAGUCAUUUUACAGGUUUGUUGGUGAAGUACUAGUUUGCACAUUUACUUGAUAUCUUCCACACAAAUAUGGAUCUAGAAGAAGGGGAAAUGCCAAAAAUAAAGCAUAGAGGUAGUGCAUUGAAACCAAAGAUUGCAAAAAAUCGAAGUAAAGGGAUAAAGCUCAAGAUUGAAUACAAUAGCCUUGGUAGUCACAUUGAGGAAAAUUCAGUUAAACUAAGUAGUUAUCUUAGUACAAUAACUAGUACCCAUGUGCCAAUAAUUAUUGAGAGUUGGAGGAAAGUCCCUAAAGAGACUAAGGAGAAGUUGUGGGAUUUGAUCACGGUAAGCCUAUCUAUAGCUUUAAUAUAUAAUUAUUGUAUACAUUCAUUAACAUGAGCUAACAUGGGUUGCUAUUUUGUAGACAAGCUUUAAUGUGAAUAAAAAAUCCAAGAGGAAUUGUUUCAUACUAAUGGGCAUCAGGUUUCGAACCUUUAAGUAUAAGUUGACAAAGAAAUAUAUAUUGUCUUUCAAGAAUGACCAAAAAAGCUGAAAAAGUCACCUCCUAUUUGCCCAUUCAUACAAGAGGAUCAUUGGAGACAGUUUGUUAAAGAUAGACUUUUUGAACAUUUUAACGUUAAGCAUUAUUUUUAUUACAUCUUCAAUUUUCACAUUUACAUAGUUUCAUUAUGUACUAAUUUUGUGUCUAUAUUUUGUAGGAAUAUCGCAAAGUUCAAAAAUCAAGAAGAGAUAAACACAUUUACAAUCAUUAUCUUGGAAGAAAAUGAUAUGCACGUUUUGAGCAAGAUAUAGUAAGUUAUCAAUAUCCAUAAAAAAAAUGGAGUAUAUAUUUUGUUUAUAGGAAAAUGAUUCUAGUUUUUAAAUAUCAUUUAUUAACUUGAUCAUGUUGAACUAAUGAGUUUUAUUGUUAAAAAUUUUAUAGCUACAAGCAGAAGGGGCUAUUGGUAGGGUUGAUAGAAGUGUUUAUGAAAGAAAACACGUGAGAAGAAAGGAAAGUUUAAUAAGAUUACAAAGCUAAUGAUUAACUAAGUUAGCAUAUUUAUCUCUUUUAGAGCCUAUAAUGUUAGUAUGUCUAUGUGAUUAUGGUUUAGGAUGAUAUCGUUAGGUGUUAAUAGGGAAGAGGCUUAAUGCUAUCAUUUUUAUGAGUAGUCAUGUUCUAUUAGUGCAAAUAUAGUAGCCUAAUUUGAAAAUUAAUUUUGAAACAAUAUACAUUAAUUUAUCUAUUAUCAUUUUUAUUAAAACAAUUCAUUUUCUAGCUACCUUGAAUUGGUCCUCUUGAAUUGGUUGUCUUUGAUUGAUAUGUUAAUCAUCUUCAUCAAAUUAUUACUAAUAUAUGUUUUGUUGUAGGAUGAAUUACUAGAAAAGGCAAGGAGACUGGACUACCUCCACCUGGUCCAAAUGACAUAUUAUGUCAGGCAUUGGGUAAGCUUGAUCAUCUAGGACGUGUGGUAGGUCAAGACCACUUGGUUAGGCCGAACUCAUACUUUCAUCAACCAUUUGAUGACAUGAAAAAAAAUAAUCAAAGAAGAAAUAUGGGAAAUGGUGUGAAAGGGGAUGCAAAAUGCUGUAACAAGACAAACUAUGUCUCCUCCCACACCCCAUUCUGAUAUAGGUAGUAAUAACAUGAGACAACAACUUGUUUUACAACUAGUUGUAGCAAAAAAACCAAUGUUUAAAAUGAUGGAAGAGCCCUAACCACCAGAACCACCACUGAAACGUAAGGUAUACAUUUACUUACUAAUAAUACAAGAUUAAUAUAAGUGAUAUAUAGCCUAUGUAAAUGAUAUUAUUUGUUGUAUUAAAGGUGAUUAAAUAUAAAUUAGCAGUGGAAUGAAAAUGAAAUGUUGUUGCAACCAGUACAUUAAUAGAAGAAAAUUGAUCAAAUGGGUUGGUCGUAAUAAAUGUUGCACACAAGCUAGAUGCUAGACUCCCAUUUCCAAAUCCAUAUGAGAUUAUCAAUGUUGGGGAUUCUAUUGGCCUUAAGCUUGACUGGCCAACAAGCCUUGUCAUACUUGAAACUAAACAUCCUCGGGUAUGUCAUUUUAUACUUGUAGUAAAUUUGAUUGUAACUUGGUAUUUUAUUGUUUAGGAGUAUAUAUUACUAACAUUCCUUCAUUUUUCAUAAGUGUUGGAUAAAGGAAAGAAGUAGAUAGUGAAUGCACCAAUUAUUCGAAAAUCUAAGCCUCAAAAUUAUUCGGUCAUUAAAAAUUUUCAGAAAUUUAUGGAUGGUUGUCUUAGUAAUGAGAAGACAUACCCAAUACAACUCCCCAUUUCACUAUUUGGUGUCGAAUUCCGAACAUAUAUAUCUAGAGAGGAUUGUGAAUACAUUAUUUCAUCUUCAGAGGUGUCAUCAAAAUGCAUCUCCUUCCACUUAUGGUGUGCACCUUUUAUUUUCAUUUGUUUUUAUUUUUUUAAUAUGAGUUGCCCAUGUUGAACAAGAUUGGAUAUGACUAAUGAUAAUUUUCUUUUGGUGUUUUGAUAAUAUAAUAGGUACAUGCAUGAUCAACUACAUAUUGCCAAAAAGGAAUCACAAUUUAUAUUUGUUAAUCCUUUUACAAUAUCAUGAGCAGGCUUUAGUAAUCCUCAAACAGAGAAAAGAACACAAUUGUUGUCAAAACACUUAAUAGAGUGCCAAGAUGUCGGAUAUGUUUUCAUGCCCUACAACCCCGAGUAAGUGACGAAUAUUAUACUUUAAUUUGAGGUUUUAUGAUUGAUUUAUAUUUAUAAUUAGAUGCUACUUUUGUUUUUAAUGUUUUAGCUUUCAUUGGGUCUUGGUAGUGAUUGAGCCAAGGAAAAUGAUAGUCCACUAUCUUGACCCUAUGCAUCACAAACCAUGUGAGGACUUAAAGGAUAUCGUAAACAUGUAAGUUCUUCCUAUUAUUUUUCAUAGUAUUAUUUUAAAAAAAAUUACAUUCACCUCAAACACAUUUUUUAUUGUUAUUUCUAUAUAUUAAAACAUAUAAUAUUUACCUAUUUUAAAAUUGUACCCAUUGAACUUAUUUACAUAGGGCUCUUUAAAUAUAUGCAAAGAAAAUAUCUAAGAGAGAGCCAUCUUGGCAACUAGUGCAAGUAACAUCCAAAAAUUUUCUUUACACAUUUAGCUUAUGCAUUUGCACCAUUUAUAUAUAUGAGUACUAAUGUUAUUUUAUAACUGAUCGAUUAGUGUCCAAGACAAGAAGGAGGGUUCAAAUGUGACUACUUUGUUAUGAGAUUCAUUAAAGAGAUAAUUUUUUAUCCUACAAUGAUUGCUUCAAAGGUAUUACUUAUUUAAUGACUUGUACAUAUUUUUAGGCUUCCAAAUGUUAUGCAUUUUAAUGUUAUUUUCUUAUUUGAUUUCAGUUUGGUGAUAAAAAAAACAUAUUAUCAAGUAGAAUUCAAUGAAAUUAGAGGAGAAUUGACUACUUUUGUGCUACAACUAAUCAUGAAUCAUGUUGAUGCAUCAUGAUCACCAUGCAUGGUGAGUCCCUUAGCUACUACAUGAAUUUUUCCAUAGAUUAUAGUAUUGCUUUUCUUUGAACAAUGUUUUUAUUUGAAAAAAAGAAAAAAAAAAGUUCUUAGAUUUGUUCAUUUAUGAUAACAUCGAUCCAUAUUUAUUUUCUUCAAUNNNNNNNNNNNNNNNNNNNNNNNNNNNNNNNNNNNNNNNNNNNNNNNNNNNNNNNNNNNNNNNNNNNNNNNNNNNNNNNNNNNNNNNNNNNNNNNNNNNNGGUAUACACUCUUAGGAGGGUGGAAUAGAGAAUAAAAAGAACAAAGAAGGCAACAAGAUUUUGGGUUUUUAAAUGCAGCUCGUAUGUCAUACAUUGUAGGACAUAAACGUUACUUUAAUUGGUAGUGAGAAUUUUAGAUUUUUAGAUGCUACUUUUAUGUCAUUUUAUAGUUAGUCGGUUUUAUGCUUAUGAAAUGAAGGUAUACAUGAAUCUUGGGAUGCUUAACAUUACUAGAUCAUGUUUUGGUAUGUAUUCACUCUUCUUUUUUAGUUUUGGUGGGUUUGAUAUAUUGGAUGUACUAUCUUUUUGUGAACAUUUGAUAUACAAAUAUUAUUAGAUGAUCAAUGUAUUACGAGUUAUUCCAUAAACAUUACUGAAAAAUGAGUUAAAUGUAAUAUGAUUGUUAUAUUUAUGGACAAAAUAUACACAGGUUAAUCCUAUUUGUUAAUUCAUAAGCAUUACAAAAAUCUACAACUAAAAGCAAUCAUAUCUUCCAUGAUAAUUUACAAUGAUGUGACACCAUAACUCAAAGGUGAUGCAUUUAAUGUGACAUCAUAACUCAAAGAUCAUGCAUUUAAUGCGACAUCCUAUCAUCACUAGAAAUAUAUGAUGUCACUUUCGAAUGCGUUACCAUUUAUCUACUUUGGUGUCACUUACAAAUACGUCACCAAUUGGUACCCUCUAUGGUGUCAGUGGAGAAGGUGACACUAUGUUGUAGUGACACCCUAUGUUUAUGGUGACUCGUUAUAAAUGUCACCAUAUAUCUUUUUUCUUGUAGUGCAAAUUACUUAUCUUACUAUGCAUUGGGCUUUGAUAUUAGCCAGAGACAGUAGUGGCUCCUAAUUUUUAUCCUUAACUGAAAUGAAAACGUUAAGCAGGUCCCCAGCCUCUUUUUCGCCAUUCUUCCACUAUUCUACUAUUUGGUCCAUGAUUGGAUCAUGGUACUUGUUAAUGGUGUUCAUAGCCUCCCAUAUAGUCUUUUCAUGGCCAUCUAAAUUCAGCACUCUCUGCCAUGGGAAGUAAUCAGAUAAAGAGAAUACAUAUAGAUGAGCAAGUAUAGUAAAGAAGGAUUCAACAUGUUGCUCCACUUCAACUCUAGGGCCUCCAUCUUUCUUUCGUUCGCCAAAGUAUCUUGUGUUGAGGAUCAUCUUUCAGAUGACAUUCCCGUUGUAUUGACGGACUUUAUUUCUGUCACACCCCAAAUACUAGGCAACCCAGAACUUGACUCGUGGCCCUAGGUCAAAGGUUUGACCCUAAGAGUUACUCUUAUCCAUGUUGGCAAUCAAUCAAAACACCCUAGAUUUUUUUUCUUUUCAAUAAAGCGUUUAAUCCUAAAUAAAUUUAUUAAGCUAAGAUUUACUAUAACAUAUCAUUUUAUUUUUCCAAAACUAACCAUCACAUUAUCUCCUGUUCACAAGUAUUAAAAAAAUAAAAUUCCACCAAUCAUCUUCCUACCCAAAAGCUCAAAUAUUUACAAUAAUCUCUAAGUCAAAAAGAAUAUUUCCAAAAAUGUUUUACAAACUAAUAAAAUAUAAUUUAACUUAAAAAGGUCCAUAUAACUCAAAUUAGUAGAUGUCAAAAAGGUAAUUAAAAAAAAACAACAACCAUUAUUAUGGUUUUUUUGCUUUUUAGAACACUUCAUGAUCUUCUUAUGGUCCCUUAGAAACUAUAUCUGCAUCUAAAAAUUUUAGAAAAUAAAGGGAUGCACAUUUCCACGUUACUCUUUAGACCUAGACGAGUUAGAAAUUCUAGGUCAAUAAAACACAACCAUAUGCCAAAAUAUAAUAUUACAUUUACAUUAUACACACUAAAAGAAACCUCAACCAUACAAAUUUAAAUCAAUCAAAAUUAUCAUUUUCCUUAUUUAAUCAUAUGUUUAGCAUAUCAAUAAUUUUAAAUUUACAAAAUAAAUAAGUCACUUUAGUCUUGAAUAAUAUAUUCAAACAUACACUUGAUAAAUAAUACAAAUCAUUUUUCCAAAUGCAACCAUGAUACAAAUGCUUACACACAAUCGCGCAAUGCAAUAUCGUUCUCGGGCUUUCACCGAAGGAUAUGCAUUUAUACCCAAAUACACUCCCCAUUCGGAGUCUUCCUGGGAUAAACUUUUGAGUAUUUCACCCUAAGGAUCUCACUCCCUUCUUAACUCACCAUCUCUAGGGUCAUUCAAUUUCUUAUUUUUCUUUUCUUUUCAUUUUUGCCAUUUUUGGGGUCUUUUCAUUCUCAUUUCCAUUUCACACAACCAUUUCUUUAAUUUUUCUUUUUCUUCACACAAUCAUGAUGCAUAUGAAAUGCAAUUGAAUCAUAUUUUAACAUACAUAAUUUUCCAAGACAUAAUUUUAUUUACUCCCAUUAUGUUUCAUAAUUUCCAAUAAUCCACACAACGAUUUUUCUUCACUUUAAUCGUCACAAACAUAAAAGAAAAUUCACAAUUAAUUUGUAUAGCAUCAAAACAUAGUUUUAAACAUUGACCACAUAAAUUCUAUUUAUUCCCGACAUGCUUAAUAAUUUCCAAAUCCAAUAUAACCAUUUUUUUUCAAUUAAAUAAUCACACAUAUCCAAGAAAAUUCUCGCUAAUACAAAUAUCAACGAAAAUGUAAUUUAUGUCAUAAUUUAUUUGUCUCCAAUAAUUUCAAAAAUUUUGACACCCAUAUGACAAAUUUCCACAAUUAAGCCACCCCAACAUUUGGGAAAAAUUUUCCAAUAAUUCAAAUAUCAACAAAAACCCAAUUUAUAUCAUCAUUUUAUUUAUUUUUAAAAGCAUUAAUAAUUUUAAUAAUCAAUACAACACUUUUCCACAAUUAAGCCACCACAACAUUCUGGGAAAAUUUUCCAAUAAUUCAAAUAUUAACAAAACACAAUUAUACCUUAGUUUUUCUUAUCUCCAACAACAUCAAUAAUUCUUAGUACUCAAUACAACUAUUUUUAUUUUUUCAUAUUUAAUCUUCUCAAACAUUACCAAAAUUCCAAGAAAAAUCUAUAAAUCACGAAAUAAAAUUAUUCACAAUAAUAAUCACACUUCAAAUACUACAAAUAACAUCUAUUAUAUUUCAACAACACAAUAUAUAAAUUUUUUUGAAAGAAAAUAUUAAAUCAAAGUUUUAGGGUUAAAUCACCCUACCUUAAAUUUGAAAAUUUUAACCAUUAAAACUAAAACGGGACACCGUAGGAGUGUUCCUUGCAUUGAAUAGAAUAUCCUUCCAAAAUUUCAUGCGAAAUGGACGUCAUUUGGUAGGUCCACCAGCAUCCUAAAGCUGGCGACCCAUUUUUCCCACUCUUUGCUGAUGACUCCCCUACAUCUCUCACUCGAUUUCCUUUCUUCAUUUUCUUUUCUUCUUCUUCUUUUAAACUCCCACGCCAAUUUCACUUUAUAUAUAUAUAUAUAUAUAUAUAUAUAUUAUUAAAACAAAUCCUAAAAUACCACGCACAUCCAUUUCUCAAUAAAUUAAAACCAUUAUUCUUAAAUUCAUCUUCCGUAAUUAUGAAUUAUACCAAACUUAUGAUUUUCCAUUUCACGAAAAAUACCACCGUAUUCGUAAUUUAAUUUACUACAAGUCUACUCUUCAAAAAGUAUAAUUUGAUUAUAAUUACAUGAAACAUUGUUUUUUUACUCUAAAAUUCAUUUAAAACAUGAUAUAAUUAACUAUUAAAAAAAUUUAAUUCCAUAAAAUAUUAAAAACAUAAAAUAAUUUUUUGGCAAUCAAGAAGUUGAAAUUUGUAAUAACCUUUAACCUGUUAAUUUUACCUAUAUUUAUUUACCAACAAAAAUUUAAAUAAUAUUCUAAAAUUUAAUUCCAUAAAUUAAUUAGUCAUUCAAUUUAUAAAAAUCAAAUUCUCUACCCUUUGGUAUAACUUUUAUUUAAUUUACUUCAUUUUUCAAAUUAUUCAAUCGCAUCAAAAUUUCAAAAGUUAAAUUCACUAAAUUCACAUUUAAUUAAUUUAUCCUUUUGUAUUUUUUUUUUCUAAAUUCGCAUAUCAUAAUUUAAUCUUAAUUUAAUUUUGAUUCAAUUUUGUUUUAUGUUUUCUAAUUUUAUGAGGUUUAAUUUCAAUUAUAAAAAUUAAAUUCAAUUUCUUUUUAAUUAUCCAUUAUCACAAUUUGAUAUAAUAUAAUUUUUUAUCAAGUUUUUCUUACUACGAUUUUUCUUAUAAUUAUCCAAUGAUAAUUAAAUUAAUUCUCAUAACAUAUUUAAUAUUCAAAUUUUAAAAACUUAAUCUCAAUUAUUUGAUGGUUAAUUUUUUUCUCAAAAUCUAAAUUUAAUUUAUGAAAUUCUCACUUCUUACAUCUGACGUGGCAAAAUUUUCAAACUAUUGACUUUUGACCAACUUUUCCUAAAUUUAUCCUAAUUAAAUACUAACACAUGGAUUUUCACCACUCUUUUUGACCUUUUGACCCACAAAUUUAUGAAAGACUUUAUGCUUGGAGAAUCUACAAAAACCUGGGUAUUACAAUUUCUCAGGUUGAUAACUGUCGUGGUUACGAAGCCACCACUUGAAUCCUCAGUCGCCAUUGUAAUGGGCCUGGAUGCAAAUAGUACAUCAUGUUUCUUCAAAAGUUCUCUGCUAAUCUCUGGGAAAGUCGUAGGGACGAAAUGAAAUAUUUCCCAAUUGAAUACAUGCAAUUUUAGUGUUCAUUUCUUUCAUAAAGCCAAUGUAUCCACCAGAAAGUUGGCUUUUUGUUGAGUAAAUGAGGUAGAUAUUGCACUAGUGGCCAUGGAGCUAAUCCUGGAGGAAGUUGUAUCGGCUUGCUUUUGGUACUUGUUUUGGAAUUUAAUUUAGUGAAGAUGAGAAAGAUUGAUGUGAUGAAAAGCAAUAAGAGGAAGUUGAGAUGAGACAACACAUCGUCUGUGGUAGUAGAAGAAAACAAGGUUGAGUUACUGCUACUACUCUCUGCAACAAAACCAUUUACACGUCUUUUAUAGCAAAACCAUGUUUGUCCUAUCUUGGGUCUGGAUGCACAUUUUUAAUAUUGGGGAUCAUGCAACCAAAUGUCACACACAAAGAGAGAGAAAAAAAUACGUUUUUUAGAACUUGAAAAGGUAAAAUGGGACAAAAAAUAUUAUCCAUUCUUGAACUCUAAAAGUAAAGUUAUAAAAAGCUUAGGUGGUGUUUGUUUUUUUACUUAAUUCUAAAUAGAACCUUAAUGCUUAAUAGUGUUAAAUAUUAGGUUGUUUGUUUUUGUAGUAUUUUAUUUCUAUUAAGUAUUAAAAAGUAAAAAAACCAAUAUGUUAUUUUUUCUAUUAAGAAAAAGUUACAUAUUUUGACUUUUUCUAUUUAGUAAAAAGUUUAUAAUAAGUCAUGAAAAAGUAGAAAAACAAACAACUUAAAUUUUAAAACUAAAUUGCUUUCAGCAAAAAGCCAAAAAAACAAACACCACCUUAGUUUUUUUUUUUUUUUUUUUUUGUUAUGUAUGAUUACAUGAUUUCCCCCUUUUAAGAUUUUAUCUCAUAAAAUUUUUUUUCUAGAAGGUUCAAAUAAGUUUGAUGAAUAUUGUUUAUUUUAGUAAUUUUAAUUUUGUGGGGUACUUAAAACAUUAGAAGUUCACAAAAAGCAACAUUUAUCAGCUACCUAUCUAAAAAGCUUGGCCUAAUCAUUGAAAUCCAAAAUAUAAAGUGACAACACACUUUUUAAAGCAAUUUUCAAAAUAGUUUUCAAAAACACAUUUAUUUAUGAUAUUUUUAAAAUAAAAAUCUCAAAAAUAACUUGUUUAUAUAGCGUUUUAUUAGACAAAUACUUGAUCUUUAUAAGAUCACCCUAAUUAUAGAUUUAUGAACAUGUAACACAACAAUUAUCUAUAUAUAUACUUAGAAUUAUUAUAUUUUAAGUUUUUAACUACAUAGGACAUCGUGAGUUUUUCCACCAUUUAUCUUAUAAAAAGUUUAUUUAAAUAUGAUAAAGGAUAUAUUAUCUCAUUUCUUAUUAUAUCUGAUGCUAUAUAUAUAUAUAUAUAUGUAACAGAUCAAAUACAAUUUAAAGAUUUUAAUUAACCAUCUAUUAGCAACAAAGCAAUCUCUUAAUCUCAUUCAUAAUAUUAGGAUAAUUUAGUAUUUCCUUUUAUAAAACACUAGCAUAUAAAUCAACACAAAUCAUAUUAAGGGUGUAUUUGGUGUUGAUUUUAGGAAGCGUUUUUAGUAUUUCUAAUACUUGAAAGAUAAAAAUUUUCAAGUUUUAGAAAGAUCAAAAGCGCUUUUUAGAAUGACUAUCAAAUACAUGCUAAAUAUUACUUUUGGAUACUUAUAUUUUUAAAUAACUCUUAAAACUUUUAAGGCAAGUCUCUACUAUUUAUAUAAAUCCCCUAUUAUUUUUAAUUUUUAGAAACAAAAAAUAAAGAAUAGAAACUCCAUUUAAACAUCACCUUAUUAUUUCCUAUUAUAAAAUAACACAAAUCAAAUGAAUUAUUUAAAAAUAAAUAAAUAUAAAAUCAAAGUUGAAGAGAAAAAACUCUUGUGCAUUAAAAAAACAUCAAAAUAAAUAAAUAAAUAAAACAUCAUCAAAUAAAUGUAAAAAUAAAUUAAUGUUAUGGAAAAAUGAGAAUAGGCAACAAGAAAAUAAGAACACAGAUUUACAUGAAAAAUGCUAGACGGGAAAAACCAUGGAUAGAGGAGAAGAAAAUCCACUAUAUUAAAAAUUUGGUAUAAAAUGUGAGAGAAUCAAGCGACUAUUGUAUAGGCAUAAUCACUAUGACCCUAAAUCCUAUACAUCAUCGCAUAUGUAUGGUGUAUGCGAUAAUAUUUGUGAUAAUAAAAAUAUUGUCACAUAAAAUAACUAUGGGAUGUAAUAUUUGUAAUAAUAUUCUUUACAAAAAAAUAUUUUUUCUUUGCUUUAUUCACUUUGAUCACAACUUGAAAUAAGACAAUAAAAAUAUUUUCUUAAUUUUUGAAAAUUAAUUGAGGACUUAGAGCUACUUGUUACUGAGUGAAUUUGCUGAAUGGUGAAGAAUGCGUGUAUAGUAGUUUUGCAAUUUUUCAAACUUGUAGACAUAUUUUGUGAAGUCUUUUUCUCUUUGUAAAGCCCCAUUUUCUAUGUGAAGUUAUUUUUUCAAUAUUCUCUUUGGAAGGAAUUUACCAUUAGUUAUAUAGGUAAGAUUAAGGAAUUAAAUUUGGAAUUCUUAAGAUUUGAUUACUUAAUUCAAAGAAUUUGGUUCAAGGGAAAUUUGCCAACAAAAUAAUAUUUAAUUUUAAUUCUAUGAUGACUUUAAUUAUUUGAUAUAAUUUUAUUUUGAAAGACUUGAUGUGGGGGACUCAUCACUUAUUGAGUCCAAAUUUUGUUGCACCCAAAUUUUUAUGAGCUAAGAAACCAUAAUUUUAAAGACCAAUUCAGUGGUAAGUAAAUCUGCUAAAAUCUUCUAUGUACAAAUGACCUCACUUCAAGGUGCAACACAUACAUGUAUUAUUAUGUGUAUGGGAUGAGUCUUGAAGUUAGUCUUCAUUCUUCUUUGAUUUUUUUUUCUUCAAAUAAAUAAAUAAAACAUCAUCAAAUAAAUGUAAAAAUAAAAUAUGUAUCAGUUAAUUGGAGAGGAGAGCUUUAAGGGCAUUUCUUCUAUGAAAUUCUAUGCUCCACGUACCAUAAAUUUGUACUCAACCAACAAAAUUACAGAAUGGGUCCAUGCACAAACAAAAAUAACCCAAAUGUGAAUAUCUAAAAAUGUAUGAAGUUCACAAUAGAUAUUCAAGCCCAAAUUUAAAUUUCAAAUUAGUCCAACAGAUUUCAUUAAUCAAAAUGGGUCCAAAUUAGCAAAUAUAACCCAACAAAAAUAUCUCAUAUGUCAUAGGCCCUAAUUUAAAAUUUUCAAAUUAAUAGCCAAAAUAUAAGUUCAAUUAAUCAAACCCAAAACAUGAUAAAUUAAAAUAAAUCUCAUUAGGCCUAAACUUAAUAUCCCAUAAUUCAAGCCUAAUUUAAUAUAUAAACCUAAAUCCACAAUCAAAAUCAACCCAAUUUAUGCUAAUCCCGAUUUACAAUCAAAAUCAAACAUAAUUUAAUAAGUAAAUAACUAAAUAAAUUAAGCAAACUCAAAACACCCAAACCACUACAACAUAAAUCAAACAAUAAUAAAUAUAAUGACAACAAUAAUAAUAAUAAAUAAAAUAAAAUAAAAUAAAAUAAAAAUAAAAAAUUUAACUCACGUCGGAGCCAGUUUGAAUGUCUUAGGAAAGAAAGAAAAUGAGAGAAAAGUGAGAGAUGAUUGACAACUGACAGUGGCUCACUAGCGGCAACUGGUUAGUGGUCCUACCGAUGGUAGUGAGGAUUGAUUGGUUUUUGGGAAAAAAAAUAAAAUGAAGAAAAGAAAAUGAGAAGUAAUAAAAAAAAUGGAGAAAUGAGAGGAAGGUGGGAGAAGAAUGGAGAGAGAGAACGUAGAAAAUGAGUGAAAAGAAAUGAGGCUAGUUGGAGGAGAAAGUGGUAGUGUGUGAGCUAAAGUGAAGAAUAAUAGAAGAAGAAAAUGGAGAAGAAUGGGGAAAAAAAAAUCCGUCUCCCUAAAUGAAGAAAGGUGGGUAGCCUAAAGAAGAAGAAAAAAUAAAAUAAAAUAAAAUGGGGAGAAAAUGAGAGGGGGUCGGUGGUCUUGCGAAUGAGGUGGUAUGCGUUAGAGAGAGAGAGAGUGGGUGGGGUUGUUGGGGUUGUUGGGGAAGGUAUGAGAGAGAGAGGAGAGAGAAAAGAAAAAAAAGAAAGAAAAGAAAAAAGAUAAUAUAAAAUAAUAAUAAUAAUAAUAAAAUAAAAUAAUAUACAAAAUAAUAAAAACUAAUAAUUAAAUAGUGAGUGGGCAAAAAAUAUCAUAUGUAAUCAAGAUUUAAUUUUAAGAGUAAAAUUGGGUUAAAAAUUAAUGUAAAAUAAAAUUGGGAUAAAUUUUGGGGUAUACAAAUAUGCACCUCUUCAAUAGAGUCCACGAGUAAAGCAAGUGUAUAUGUGAGCAAAACAAAGUGGGCUCUACUGAAAAAUAAGAAAGACCACCAAAUUUGUCUUAAUAUGACAUGAACUCUCCCAAAUAAAAAAAAUAAAAAAUCUAAAACCCUACAAAAAUGGCCAAAAUGGAAACUCCUAAGGUGCCUCUAAAGUUAUACUAUGGAUCUAGACUCCCUUAGAAAAGCCUCCAAAAAUGGCCCAAAAAUCGGUGCCAAAAUCGAGUAGCAAUCAGACCACUAAGGAGCACAUGAACGAAUGCAUACAAAGGGAAAAAAACCAUACGUGUACCAUACGAUGACAAAAGGCAUAAGGUAUCCAACAAUAUGACUGAUUCACGUGUUACGAGCUUAAAGAACUUUGUCAUGCACCAUGGAGGAAGGGAAACUCUAGAAUAAUGUGAUGAGGAAGUUAUUAGCACAAUGUAACAGAGUGAGGAAAAAAGUGAUGAGUGCAAAGCUGUGAGGACAAAGUGCACAAUGCUAAUGAAUAUGAAAUGAAUAGCACUAGGCUAUAAUGCAAUGAAUAGCUCAGGGUUGUACCAUAAUGAACAAGUCAAGGAUGUGUAAAGAUGAGGAACAACUCAAGGUUGUAAUGCAAUGAACAACUUAGGGCUAUGAAUGCAAUGAACAGCUCAGCUCAAUGAAUGAAAUGAAUAGCUCAGGGCUGUGAAUGCAAUGAACAACUCGACGUUGUGGAUGUAAUGAACAACUCAUGGUCAUGGAUGCAAUGAACAGCUCAGGGCUAUAGAUGAACAACUCGGGGUUGUGGAUGUCAUGAACAACUCAAGAAUAGGGGCACUAUACACCCAAAAUGGGAGAUCACGGUCUACGAUUCCAAGUCAAACCACUAAAGGGUGACCAAAAUGAGGGUGAUCAACUCACUAAAAAAGAUGAUCAAAAUGUCUUAAGGGAGAGGAGAUGCCCCAGAUGAAACUUAAAGGAAAUGAGUAGUGCUAAUGAAACUAAAAAAAGAAAAAAUGUCACAACUGAAAUUGAAAAAAUAGCAAACUUAGAUUAAAGUGCAAUGAACAACUUUGGGCUGUUGCGAUGAGUAGUACCGUGUUGUAAUGAAAUGAAUAACUUUAAGAUAUGGGCAUUGUACGCCUAAAGAGGGAGAUAGUGGUUUACGACUCCAAGUCAAACCACUAAAGGACGACUAAAAUAAGAUGAUCAACUUACUAUAAAUGAUAAUGCAACUAUCUCGAGAAAAAGGGUAUGCCCCAAAUGACACUCAACAGUAAAAGAAUGACACAAAUGAAACUAAAACAAGAGGAUGCCACAAAUGAAACUGAAAUGAUAACAGACUCAGUACUAAUGUGUAAUGAACAACUUUGGACUAUGGAUGCAAUGACUAGCACUGGGUUGUAAUGAAAUGAACAACUCUAAGAUGUGGGCACUAUACCCCUAAGAAAUGAGAUCAUAGUUUACGACUCUAAGUCAAACCGCUAAAGGGCGACUAGAAUAGGAUAAUCAACUCACUAAAAAUGAGGAUGCAACUAUCUCGAGAAAGGGGGUAUGCCCUAAAUGACACUCAAUAGUAUAAGAAUGACAUAAAUGAAACUAAAAUAAGAGGAUGCCACAAAUAAAACUAAAAUGAUAACAAACUCAAAACUAAUGUGCAAUGAAUAACUCUAGGUUGUGGAUGCAAUGAACAACAUUGGGCUGUAAUGAAAUGAACAACUCUAAGAUGUGGGCACUAUACGCCUAAAGAGGGAAAUCACGGUCUACGACUCCAAGUCAAACCACUAAAGGGCGACUAGAAUAGGAUGAUCAACUCACUAAGAAUGAGAAUGCAACUAUCUUGAGAAAAGCGGGAUGCCCUAAAUGACACUCAAUAGUUAAAGGAUGACACAAAUGAAACUAAAACGAAAUGAUACUACAAAUGAAACUGAAAUGAUAAUAAAUUGAUAACUAAAGUGCAAUGAACAACUCUAGGCCGUGGAUGCAAUGGACAGCUCAAGAAUAGGGGAACUGUUCGCCCAAAAUGGGAGAUCGUGGUAUGCGACUCUAAGUCAAACCACUAAAGGGUGGCUAAAAUCAAAAUGAUCAACUCACUAAAAAUGAGGAUCUGAACAUCUCAAGAAAGGGGUUAUGCCCCAAAUGAAACUGACAAUAGAGGGAUGCCUUAAACAGACUGAAGAAAGAAGGAUGCCCUAAACAAAUUAACGAAAAAUGGAUGCCCUAAACAAACUGACGGAAGUGAAAUGCCCUAAAUAAACUGACCAAAGAAGAAUGCACUAAACAAACUCUGAGAAAAAAAAAAAAAGAAGUAUGCAAUAUAGAAUCAAAAACACCUAAAGCAAAAACAAGAAACAAAGAAUGUGGUUUACAACUAGAAACACCCAAAAGAACCUUAAAGAAGUAACUGGGAUAAUGAACUUAAUGAAAAUGGGGUAUGCCACAGUAAAAGACUCGGAAGUAUCAGCAAAUGGGUCAAACGACCAUGAAAUCAAUAGGAGAUAUGAUGAACCCAAAAAGGGCAUAUGCCCCAACAAAAGAACACUAAAAGGGGGGUAUGCCCCGAUAUGACGACUCACAAUAAUUAAGAAAUGGAUCGAGUAAUGAGAAAAUCUGCAAAAUAUCCUAUGAACUCAAAGAUGGGGGUAUGCCCCAGUGUAAAAUAGUGACCAACAUAAGACACAGAAUGUCACCAUACAAUACACUCUGGGAUAUGCUCAAUGUCAAUGUAAUGAAAACAAUAGCCUCAAUCAACAAAUGUUCAAGCAAGACCAUGCAUCACAUAAACUAAAAUAAUAGGCUAAACAAAUGCUAACCAAGUCUCUCAAUCUGAAAUGUAAGCAAGUCAAGACAUGACAUGCCAACCAUCGACAUGAAAACAUCAUCACAAAUACAUCAACAAACUAAUAGUCCCUACUAUCAUGGAAGAUGUAGAACCUAACGUCCAAAGGCAUGUGAAAACUCAACCAGAAAGCUCAAGACUAGUUUGCAUCCUCCUCUAAUAAAAAGAAUGAGAUAAGGUCAUGUAGGAUGAUGAAAUAGGCAAGCUCAAUAUUCGUUAGGCUCUACCAAGAUGGAUGUAGGUAUAAUAGUGUCAAAGGUAGGAUGUCUAGAUUUCCAACGAAGGAAACUGGGUAUCCAAGUCAAACCAAGUAUGUUGAGGAAACUGAACCCAUAGGACAAUAACUUUAUGAUCCAUUGAAAAUAGCAAUCAUGAAUAGAAGGUCGAGUCUCGAUGUCAAAAUCAACAAGGUGGCAUUGCCCCAGUAUGAAUACAUCUUCUCAAAAUGGGUAAACCUUUAGUGCAAGAUAAUCUCUAGAAAGUGUGUGUCUAGUAUAAACUGUCAUCUCACAAAAUUUAUCACUGAUGAGUGGGCUAUACCCCAGUGUAAGCAUUUCCAAAUCAAACAUCGAUGAGAGGAGUACAACCAAUCAUACAUAAUAUGAUCAAAACAAAUCUCCACUCCUCAAAGUCAUCAUGGUAACGUGAAAAGAGUAUCUAACCUCAUUUAAAGAAAGAUCAUGUCCCAAUGUGAAAAAUAUCAAGCAAAGUGGUAUGUCUCAACAAAAAUGCACUCUAACAUGAUCAUGCCUAGAUGUAAGCUGGUAUCUUUAAGAUCAAUCACCAAUGAAAGGGUUAUGCCCCAGUAUAGGGCAAUCUCUUAAAUGACUAAAAUCCGCUACAAGCUCUCACAAGUGUCUAUGUCAUGAACCAAUCAUCUCAAAAAAUAAAUAAAUAAAUAAAUCUAUCAACAAUGAUGAGAAGGUUAUGCUCCUAUAAUCACACCAAGAAAAUCACCCGGUCAUAUCUUGUACUCCAAUGUGAAAGGAAAAUAUGAUCACCUCCAAAGAAUGGCUAUGCCCCAAAAUACAUCAUCGAUUGAGAAAUAUGCCCCUACGUAAAGUACAUCAACUGAAAUAUGCCAAUCAUGCCUCAUGCUCCAAUGUGAAAAAUGACGUAUAAUCUUCUUUGAGGGAUGGUCAUGACUCAAAUCCAUCAUCAGUUGAGAGAAGUAUGCCCCGACAUAAUGGUCAUCUAAAAAAUCAAUCCCCGACUAAGAAAUAUGUGCCUUGAUGUGAUGUAUCAAGCAAAAUGGCUGCAUACCCCAUAAAAAACUCUCUAAGGUGGCUAUGCUCCAAUGUUGGAUCAUACCACAACUCCUGGUCUAUCACAAUCAAAAUGCUGUCCAACCAAUCCCAAGUAUCGCCCACAUGAGAGCUAUCAAACACAAUGUGUGAUGUCAUGGCCUCAAGGUGGUCUUAAGAUUCGGAACGUAACGUAGGCUAGGGUAAUAAGGUAAAGAAAUGAAGGAAAACUAGGCUUAAUAAUCCUAAUGAUAAAACCCCAUACCUUAUGUAUAAAAUGCAAUAUGUGCAAAGAGUCUCAUAAACCAUGGAUCUAAGGACACCCAAUAUGAAUAUAUCAGUGAGGAAGAAAGAAUCUAAGAUGAAUAUAUCAAUGAUAACAGAGAAGAAAUGAAGAAUAUUAAACUGUUGAUGGGAUGUAUAAGAAUGAUGUAUGGAAAAUAUUGAACAUGGAAUGUAAAUUGAUAUGAACAAAGAACAAUGUAGGCAAGGCAAAUGUGAUAUCAUGAUAAGAACAAAUAAAUCGAAGAAAAAUGAAUGAACACUAAUCCACUCAAAUCAAGUCAUGGAGAAUAGUCAAAUCACCAACGUAUGUAAUGAUGGAGAAGACAAUGAUUCAAAGUCCCUAGGAAAAUGUCACUUGUUUGUCACACAUAAAAUACAUAACGAGAUAGACACAAAAAUAUGAGAGUCUUUUGAAAGUUCACAUACGAACUUUCAUAAGCAACUAACUCAAUAAAGCAACCUCAAUGACCAAUAUAUACACUCAAUAAAGGAUGACACUGUAUACAUGUGUUUAUUACUUUUUCUUUUCAUUUUGUUUUUCAUUUUUUUCAUUUUUGUUUUCAUUUUUUUUCUUUUACUCGCGCAUACUCUGAAUAUCAAUAAAUGAACUUCUCUGAGAAUACAUAAUGAAAUGGAUAUACUCUCAAACAAUGAUGUCAGCGAACUCUCUCUGACAAGAUGACCCUCUAAAUUAAGGAUUUUCGAACUAACGUCCAUGAGAUAGGAGUGGAAGGGGAUAUGACCAUCCUUCCUGCACCGAAAUGUGAAAAAUCAUCACUCAGGGCACAAAAAAAUGUGAUGAAAAAAAAUAAAAAAAUGAAACAAAAGAUAUAAACAAUGAAGUAUGAUGAAGACUGAUGUUGGGAAGACAAAAAAAAUUGUGAAGAAGGUGAGCCAAUAAGUCCUCAACUCAUGAAACUCUCGAAUAAAAUAUAUAUACACCAAAAAACCCUUAUCCCGGUGUAAAAUGUGAGCAAGGAUAUAAGAAAGAAAAAACUAUGGUGCUCAUGUGAGGUUCAAAGGGCUAGCAACGGUCCAAAUGUCAAUAAAGGUAAUAGGGUGUGAGCUAACCAAAAUGAAGGCCACCUAUGAUGGUCUGAAACAUCAUGCUCUUAAGCUUUCAAUGAUCAAUACUGAAAAUCGAUGUCAACCCUUUGGAAUUGUGCGCCAAACCAUACUCCAAAUGCUCCAUAAUAAUCUCAAAGAUAAUCCUCUCAAAGCAAAGUAAAUAGCGAUCUCAUAAGGCACAACUACUCAUCACAAGCCAACUCUCAUCAUGCAAGAUCAAUCUCUAUUUUCAUGGAAAAAUAAGUGACAAUCUCAUCAGGCAAUCGACGAAUCCUCACAUCGUAAACCAACCAAAGAUCAUAAGUCAUUCAUUGCCAUGCAAGAUCAAUCCCAGGCUCAAACUCCUCAUACUCUACCUGGUUGGAUUAGAGAAGAAAUGGGCAAAGCUAGAAAAACUGAAGAUGGAAAGGUCAUAUAAUGGUGUCAAGGGUGAUGUUGUGCAAAACUCACAAUGAAUGGAUGUAGGUCAAAGAAAAGUCAAUGUGUGAGAGUGAGUAAGGCACUACUCUGAUCAUAAGAAGAUGGGUCACAAUCUCAAACUCCUAAGGUCAAAUCUUCGAUCCUAGGCUAAUAAGCUCAACAUCCUCCAUGAUAGGUCAACCCCCAAGAUCACAAUGUGCAAAUGAAUAGAUGCCUCAAGUCAAAAGUACAACACAUCAUAUGAUAUAUGGUCCUACGAUGACAAUCUAAAACUGGAAAUAUGUUAGAAACUCUAAGGUCAUAAAGGUGUCCACUGUGAGAUGACUACAAAUGUGACUAAGGAAUCUUUAUCAAUAAUCCAAAAAAUGAAUGAGGUGUGAAAAACAACACUAUCAUGAGAUCGAUACCCCAUCAAUAACAAAAUAUCUCUAAUUCACUUUCAAUCUAAGCUCUAUAAAGAAAAACGAUAAGGUUAUAAAGGCAAACCUCUCAAAAAUGGUGUGAAUGUGAAAACAUGUCUUCACCUUUCUAUAAUGAAAAUAUCAUGUUGAAAAUAGAAAUAGGCAAAUCAACCAAAGAAUGAAGCACGGAGCCCAUGACAAGUGAAGAAUGUAAAAAGGUGAACAUGAUCAAUGAACAUAUCCCAAAACAUUAAGCAUAAAGUGACAACAAACCGAAAGAAUGUGUCAAUUUAAGAAAAGAAGACUAUCUGAAGCCCUAGGGAGAAAGUGUGCUAGACUCAACGAGCGACAAGAAGAAACUAAAACCAUAUAGCAAGGGGUGGUCCAACUGAUACUCAAACUCGUACCAAUAUCUAAGCACUCUCGACUGGAGACCAAAAGAUGGAGUAUUGGAUCCAUAUUGUGACUAAAGUGGCCUCGAAGGCUCUCAGAUGCACCCACGUGUAGGAAAGGAAAUCCUAAUGAAAAUAUCUAAGGCUUAACCUACAAGGUCAAGGCGGCUCUCAAAAGAAAAUUUGAGUAGACUUUAAAGGAUCCCUAGCAAAAGCGAUCAUACCCUCCGAUGGUACACAACCUCCUACACGUCUUGAAAUAUACGGGAGUGAUUCCAUGCAAGGUGGUCAUCACCUCCACACAUGCACUAUCUCGUAUCCUAGAGGGUUUCCUAAUGAUGAAGACUCUUACAUCUCUCAACACUUAGUGGUAAUCUAAGGUGCACAGUGAACGGUGUGGGUUCAUCCAAAAAUCCUAUCAAGCUAAGCAAAGAGAAAAAACAUUGGUCACACAAAUAUCCUGAAAUCUAGCUCUAACCUAUACAAGUCUUCAAAGAUUAGACUCCAAUUAGCAUUAAUGUUUCGACCUUCUCUAGAAUGCUCCCAAACAUAGAUAUAGUCCAUCACUAAACCCUACUCCGAAUCACUAGCUCGGUCAAAGAGCAAACAAAGUAAUAAGUCUCAUAUCAAAUACGAGAUCAAGGGGAACAUGGUCACCCGAGACUAGGGAAUUGAAGGUAAGGGGAUAGAUGUGUGUCCCGCAUAGAAAAGCAACAUGCAUCACACAGAAGAAGAAUAGUCAUGCAAUAGACAACCAAGCAAAGAACAGGUAUAUCAUUCAUAUCUACACACAAGCUAAACAAGAAAUAGGUAUUUAACAAGAAUAAACAAUAUGUUGAGAUAAACAAGAUAAUAUACGAUAAAGAGAAUCAAUCACACCAAUAUGAAUGAGAUAUACAAAAAUGAGAAUAUACAUGUCAAGGAGAGCAAGAUAAUCAUACAACAAGAAGAGUCUUAUGUUAAAGCAAGCAAGAGAAUCAAUCGAUGUAGUCAACAUGUCAAUAUCUCAAAUGAACAUAACAACCAAAUAUGCAUCAUAAAGAAAAAAUGGUAAUCAUGCAGCACACAGUCAUACAAAACAAAUACAGACAAACAUAAGCAAAUAAAUGUAAACACACAUGAUAACAAAAAUCAAUGUAUAGUAAGGCACAUGCAAUAUAUACAUAAAAUAAUCAUCAAGUCAACACUCAUAUACCUUAAAACAUGAAAAUAUACAAUAAAGACACAACGAGAGGGUAUUCACUGAUCGAUUAAUCAAACGCUACAUUUCCCUUAACUCGAGUUCAAGUUUGAUCCUUUAAAUAUCCCUAGUGAAGUCGCUAUUUUGUGGACCCACAUUUUUCAAAUACGUCCUUACACAACAGCGAGACUCAUUUUUUUUAUUUGGUGAAAAUUUGAUUUUUAGAAAAAAGACUUUGAGUCGUCACUUAUUUUUGUUUUUUUUUAAGGGAAAACAAAACAAGAAAGAAAACCUUGUGUGACUCCUUAUUUGGGAAAGACAUGUAUGCAAAAACCAAAUCUGGAUUCGGGGGUUAAGUUCCCUAUUGAGAAUGUACGAUGGUGAGCUGUAGCACCUCUCUAAGCUCAUAUACGUAUGGUCUCUACUAAACGAAUUAAGAGAAUUGUAGUAAUUAAUUAAUUAGUCAAGGAUACCAAGAAAAAGAAUCGCACAAAUGAGUACGUACAAAUCAUGAUAAAAAAAAUCAAAUUAUAAGAAUAGACAAAAUAAAUAACAAGAGAAUUGUGCAAAGUGAUUUAUUAAACUAAAUAAAAAAGAAGAUAUUAAAAAAAUUAGUUUUCAAGAAAUUUCAACGGAUUUUAUUAAAAUGAUUUUGAAUUAAUGAUUUUUAUUUAUUUAUUUACAAAAAAAGUGUCAAUUUAUUUUCUUCAAGUGAUUUGAUUCAAUUUCAUUUGUAUUCAAUUUUUUUUUUUUAAAAGUUAUUUACACUCAUGGUUGUUAAAAGAAUUAUUCACAAAAUUUCAAGUUGACAAUAAAAAUGAUUUUUACUUGCUUUUACUCAAAAACAAUGAAUUUUUACAAUUUUAUUAACAAAAGCAUUUCAAUUUAAGAAAAGUGACUUAAACAAAUUAUUAAAAAAAAUAUAACUUUAUCUGCAAAAGAAUUUUUAAUUAAAAAGAAAAAAUUUAAGUCAUCUAUUUCUAAAAAUGACUUUUAAUCCCAUUUUAAUUAAGGAAAAUUGAGUUAUCUAAAAAAACAUUUUUUGGACAAUUUGAAUAAAAAUUAAUUUUUGGGACAACUUUAUUUACAAAACAAUUUUUGGACAAUUAUUAUUAAAAACAAAAUUUCAAAUUCGAUUAAAAACAAUUUUUUGGAUUUUUCCAAACACAUUUUUAUGAAUUUUUAUUAAUAAAAAACUUUUUUUUAUUAAGAAGAAUAUUUUUUGAGCUAUUAUUUUAUUAAAACAUGUUUAUUGAAUUAUUCUUCUUCUUCAAACAAAAUUUUUAAUUUGUUCGAUAUCCAAUUCUGUACACAACAAGUAAAUAUAUACAAACAAAUAUUUAUAGAAACCAAUAAAAAUAAAACCAAAUAGAAGUGAGAAAUAAAACAUGUACUUAAACAAGCUUACAACAAGCUCAAUGUCUUCUUACGACUUUUCGAGUUUCACUUUCUUUCAUUAAAUUUUAUGCUCCACGUACCAUAAAUCCGUACUCAACCAAAAAAAUUGCAGAAUUGGCCCAUGCAAAAACAAAAAUAACACAAAUGUAUAAAGUUCACAAUAGAUAUUCAAACCCAAAUUCAAAUUUCAAAUUAGUCCAACAAAUUUCGUCAAUCAAAAUAGGUCUAAAUUAGCAAAUAUAGCCCAACAAAAAUAUCUCACAUGUCAUAGGCCUUAAUAUAAAAUUUCCAAAUUGAUAACCAAAAUAUAAGUUCAAUUAAUCAAACCCAAAACAUGAUACAUUAAAAUAAAUCUCAUUAGGCCUAAACUUAAUAUCUCAUAAUUCAAGCCUAAUUUAAAUAUAAACCUAAAUCCACAAUCAAAAUCAACUCACUUUAUGCUAAUCCCAAUUUACAAUCAAAAUCAAACAUAAUUUAAUAAGUAAAUAACUAAAUAAAUUAAGCAAACUCAAAACUCUCAAACCACUAUUGCAUAAUAUCAAACAAUAAUAAAUAUAAUGACAACAAUAUUAAUAAUAAAAUAAAAUAAAAAAAUUUAACUCACGUUGGAGCCAGUUUGAGUGUCGUGGGAAAGAAAGAAAAUGAGAGAAAAGUGGGAGAUGAUCGUUAGCUGGUAGUGGCUCGCCGACAGCGACUGGUCGAUAGUCCUACUGGCGGUAGUGAGGAUUGAUGAGUUUUUGGGAAAGGAAAAAAAAAAAAAAGAGGAGUAAUAAAAAAAAAAUGGAAAAAUGAGAGGAAGGUGGGAUAAGAGGGGAGAGAGAGAAUGAAGAAAAUAGGGGAAAAGAAAUGAGGCCGGCUGGAGGAGGAAGUGGUAGUGUGUGUGAGCUAAAGUGAAGAAGAAUGAAAGAAGAAGAAGGAGAAAAAUGGGAAAGAAGGGGAAAAAAAUUCGAGCCCUCUAAAUGAAGAAAGGUGAGUAGCUUAAAGAAGAAAAAAAAAUAAAAUAAAAAAAGAAAAAAUGAGGAGAAAAUGAGAGGGCCAGUAGUCUUGGGAAUGGGGUGGUAUAAGUGAGAGAGAGUGGGCGAGGUUGUUGGGGAAGGUAUGGGAGAGAGAGGAGAGAUAAAAGAAAGAGAAAAAAAAACAUAAUAAUAAUAAUAAUAAUCAUAAAUAAUAUAUAAAUUAAUAAAAAUUAAUAUUUAAAUGAUGAGUGUGUCAAAAAUAUUAUAUGUAAUUGGGAUUUAAUUUUAAGAGUAAAAUUGGACUAAAACUUAAUGUAAAAAUAAAAUUUGAACAAAUUUUAGAAUCUACAAAUACAUUCUUUAAUCUUUCCACAACAUCAAUCUGAUCUAAAUGAAAUGCAAUAAAUUCUAAAAAUGAUACAAUCUUUAAUCAAUCCACAACAUCAACCCGAUCAAAACUCAAUGCAAUAUUGCUUAAUGGAGAGAAUCGUAAAAUCCUUUUAUGAGAGGAAAACAAAACCCUUAACAGACCUUUAUGAGAGGAAAAUAGGAAAACAUAGAACUAAAAACCCUUAACGUAUUCAUGAGAAUAAAAAAAUCCUUAACACCUUAAUAAGAGGAAAACAAAGAAUUUGAACAAUCCUUAAUCCAUCAAAAGCUCUUAAUAUGAACGAGGGGAAAACAUAACCUUUAUUUUUCAUAUCGUUGAAUACAGAAUCUAAAGAGAUAGAAUUUUUAGUUAUUAAGGAUUUUUUAUAGAUGUCUAUUGAAAGUUCAAGAACUUUUAUGGAUAAGUGUUAAUUAAGAGACUGAAAGGGUACUUAGGAUUUUCAACUAAAAAAGUUAUAACAAUAUGAAUCGUAAGAACUUAAAAACAUCACCCAUCCAUAAGAGGAAUAUGGAAUGAGAGGUUAUAUUUUUACUUAUACAACAAUAAACUUUUUUGGAAGAGGUUUUUCUAAGUACAAAAAGUUAUGAAUAAAAAACCAUUGUUACGAUGAGUUAACUAAAAUAGAAUUAAUUUAGAAAAUAUCAAUAAAGUUGCAUGAAUUAUUAUCAUGAGUUAACUUAAUAAGAAUAAAUAGUAAUAAAGUUAAUGAGGUGAAUUUGGAUUGGCAGAUAUAUUUGAUGAUAAGAUUUUUUUAAUAAUAAAAAAUUAUUAUGGCAGGAAAAAUAGGACAAAAUUGACCUUAUGAUAAGAUUUUUUUAAUAAUAAAAACAUUAUUAUGGUAUGAAAAAAAGGGACAAAAUUGGCCUUNNNNNNNNNNNNNNNNNNNNNNNNNNNNNNNNNNNNNNNNNNNNNNNNNNNNNNNNNNNNNNNNNNNNNNNNNNNNNNNNNNNNNNNNNNNNNNNNNNNNUUUUCUAAGUACAAAAAGAGUUAUGAAAUAAAAACCCCAUUUGUUACGAUGAGUAACUAAAAAUAGAAUUAAUUUAGAAAAAUAUCAUAAAGUUGCAUGAAUUAUUAUCAUGAGUAACUUAAUAAGAAUAAAUAGUAAUAAAGUUAAUGAGGUGAAUUUGGAUUGGCAGAUAUAUUUGAUGAUAAGAUUUUUUUAAUAAUAAAAAAUUAUUAUGGCAGGAAAAAUAGGACAAAAUUGACCUUAUGAUAAGAUUUUUUUAAUAAUAAAAACAUUAUUAUGGUAUGAAAAAAAGGGACAAAAUUGGCCUUUCCUUAAUUGUACCGGUUAAUGGAAUAAUGGGACAUGCGGUGGUUACAAGCCACCCCAAAAGGUAGGAAGAAUCUCCAACCCCCAUUCUCGGCUCCCUUAUCUUUUCCCUUACAACCAAAAAUCAACAACUAUCUUAGAAUGUCCUUCAGUCCAUCAAAAUUCAACAACAACAAUUAUACAUUACAAUAAUGAAAACAAAAUUGAUUGAUCACCAGCUAACAUUAGGAGAUUAUAAGAUAAGGAUGUAAUUGCAAUUAUUGAAAUCACUUAAAGAGUAAAAGUUAGGAACAUGCUCACAAUAAAUAAAAUCACCUUAGAAUUAAAAAUUAGGGACAUGAUUAUGAUGAUUAAAAUCACUCGAGAACUAAAAUGUUUUAGAGAUACAAUAAUUGAAAUCAACUGAAAAAUAAAUUCGGGAUGUGAUCGCAAUUAAUGUAUAUAUAAACAACCAAAUGUUGAAAGGAAAAACUAAUGAAAUUAAUAUGAUUUUCUUUUAGAUUUCUCUUGACACCAAACAAAUGUAAGGAAGUUUAUAAAGGAAAAUUAGGUUUUGAUUCACUAAAUUAAAAUAAUAUAGAAAAAAGAUCUUCAAAUUUUAUAUACCAGUUUUAUUUUUAUUUAUUUAAAAAUAUUUUAAAAUACAUAUAUUUUUUCAUAACUCAAAUAGUCAUUCCUCAAAUGCUAGUUUUACUUGUUAUGUUAAUAACACUAGUUAAUAAUUUUUUAUUGUGAGAACGAUUUAAGAUUAAUAAAAUAAGAAAUUUUUAAAACUAAAAAGACAUUUAAAACUUUAAAAUUAAAAAUAUAAAAAUAAAACAAUAAUUUUUCAUUUAGUAAAACACGCCAGUAGAAAAUAUAGAUAUAGAGAAAGAGUUGGAAAUAAAAUAAGAGUUAAUAUUUUAUUUUUAAAAUUUUAUGUUUUUUAUUUUAAUUGUAUUUAAUUUUAUGUAUUUUAGUUGUAAUUAUAUUUUUAAUUUUUAAUUUUUUUUUAUUUUAUUGUUGAUGUAAACUAAUAAAUUUUUUGUUCAAUUAUAUAUAUAUAUAUAUAUAUAUAUAUAUAUAUAUAUAUAUAUAUAUAUUUUAAAAUUAGUGAGUAAAAACCCACUUUUUCUAAUUUAUAAUAUAUUUAUGGGAUUUUAUAAUAUAAGCAAUUUUUUUUUUUUUGAGAAAGAGGAAAAAUCAACUUUUCAAUUUCCCUUAAUAAUUAUUAUUAUUAUUAUCCAAUUUGGCUGAUUAUGAGAUUAGUUCGUAUCAUUACUAUAUCCAUUUGUUCUUAACCCUUCAUUAGAAUAGUAUUAGGAGUUGAACGUCAGUUGGAAUACAGGCUUAUGGAAACAAAUCUAUCCGAUUAGUAGGUUCUUAUUAUUUUCAAUAUAGCCCCAUAAAAUAAAUAGGAGAUGGGCAGCCCGUCCCUUUUGUCUGGAGGCCAUCCUCCCAACUUAUUAAAGGUGAUAUGAGAUAAGACAGUGACAAAAUUGUCGGUUACUUCCCGACACCUGGCUCUCCACAAGCAAACCCAGUGAUCCAGAAAUUAAUUGGUACCUGGACACGUGACUAACAAACCUUCGCUCAUCUACCAAACCCAUGGCCUCAUGCCUUAUAUAUUUCCACAAACCUAGCUCAAUUUUCAUAGCCACCUUCACUAUCCUAUACUCACUAAGCCAUGGCCAUAGAUACAAGCCUCUUGCUUGAGUUUGCUGCAGCAACUCUACUCUUCUUCAUCACCCGCUUCUUCAUUCGUUCUCUCCUUCCCAAACCUUCCCGGAAGCUCCCCCCUGGCCCCAGAGGGUGGCCGCUCCUCGGCGCUCUUCCUCUUCUAGGUAACAUGCCUCAUGUUGCAUUAGCAAAGAUGGCCAAAAGAUACGGGCCUGUCAUGUUCUUGAAAAUGGGCACUAACAGCAUGGUGGUGGCCUCAACUCCCGAGGCGGCUCGGGCUUUCCUUAAAACGCUAGACAUUAAUUUCUCUAACCGCCCGCCUAAUGCCGGUGCCACACUCUUGGCCUAUCAUGCCCAAGACAUGGUUUUUGCGGAUUAUGGGGCAAGGUGGAAGCUACUGAGAAAGCUAAGCAACUUACACAUGCUUGGUGGGAAAGCUCUUGAGGACUGGUCUCAGGUCCGAGCUGUUGAGCUAGGCCACAUGCUUCGAGCCAUGCUUGAGUUAAGCCAGCGAGCGGAGCCGGUGGUGGUGCCGGAGAUGUUAACUUUUUCCAUGGCCAACAUGAUAGGUCAAGUGAUUCUAAGCCGCCGGGUGUUUGAAACAAAAGGGUCGGAGUCAAAUGAGUUCAAGGACAUGGUGGUGGAGCUCAUGACCACUGCUGGGUACUUCAAUAUUGGCGACUUUAUUCCGUCCAUCGCAUGGCUGGACAUCCAAGGGAUCCAGCGCGGGAUGAAGCAUUUACAUAGGAAGUUCGACCGGUUAUUAACAAAGAUGAUGGAGGAGCACACGGCGUCAGCCCAUGAGCGAAAGGGAAACCCAGAUUUUCUGGACGUAAUCAUGGCAAACCAAGAAAAUUCUACAGGGGAGAAGCUCACUAUUACCAACAUUAAAGCACUCCUCCUGGUAUGCAUAGUUAAAGCUCGUCUUCAAUUUUGUUUUCCGAUAUUUUCUUUCCGGAAACAGCACUUUUAUUGCUUUUAGAUAUGUACGUUUUUAUCAGGUAGCCAUUUUAGGGGCACAUCACUAUUCUUUAUUUUUGGACUAUUUUUUUCUUUUUCCACUUGCAUGGUUGUUUUCAUAUGCUCAGCUGCAUGGCACAAGAAAAUUGUGAAAAAUGAUUGGUUCUCUGAUCAGACCUUCAGCACCAAAACACGCUUUUCUCUAUGUUAUAAAAUCGGUUUACAUGAUUUUUCAACCAGCUUCCUUGAACUUGAACUUUUGCUAGGGCUAAUGCAAAAAAUGAUUGAUCUCAAUUUUCAAUAGCGUUUGAUUACAUAAAUUUCAAGUAUGUGAACAUAUUUUUGUUUCCUUGGCUAGAAUUUAUUUACUGCAGGAACAGACACUUCAUCGAGCGUAAUCGAGUGGUCUCUGGCUGAGAUGUUGAAAAACCCGAGCAUCCUCAAGCGUGCUCACGAAGAAAUGGAUCAAGUGAUUGGAAGGAGCCGGCGGCUCGUGGAGUCUGACUUGCCAAAACUUCCAUACCUACAAGCCAUAUGCAAGGAAAGCUUCCGGAAGCACCCAUCCACACCACUGAACCUUCCUCGUGUCUCAACCCAGGCAUGUGAAGUGAACGGCUACUACAUCCCAAAGAACACUAGACUUAGUGUGAACAUAUGGGCAAUCGGGCGAGACCCUGAUGUCUGGGAAAGCCCGGAAGAAUUCAGGCCAGAAAGGUUUUUAAGUGGAAGAAAUGAAAAAAUUGAUCCUCGUGGAAAUGAUUUUGAGUUGAUCCCGUUUGGGGCUGGACGAAGGAUUUGCGCUGGCACUAGAAUGGGAAUAGUGCUGGUUGAGUACAUUUUAGGGACGUUGGUACAUUCAUUUGACUGGAAAAUGCCGGAUGGAGUUGAGAUCAACAUGGACGAAGCUUUCGGGCUUGCGCUGCAGAAGGCAGUUUCUCUUUCGGCCAUGGUGACACCAAGGCUUCACCAGAGUGCGUAUGCAGUCUGAGCUCAAACCGCUCAGACCAAAACCCAGGCCUCGCUGCUAUAUGGCAUGGAUGCAGUUAAGUAGAAAAUAUUUUGGGAUUUUUGCCUGUGGCUUAGUAUAAGAUGUAUUAGCUCAAAGAUGGUCGUUUCAUUCUACCACCAAGCCAUAUGCAUCUAUGCAUAAUCUAUUGAUUUAGGCUCGAUUUGGUUAUAGUUUUUGUUUUUUUGUCUUCCAAAUCAGUAAAUAGUAGGGGUAUUUUUGUCCUAUGUAGUGAUUCUUUUUGUUUGAUUGAUUAUAUUUGGAUCCUUCAAAAAUAUACGGUCAGAGCCAUCUCCAUCUUUUCACUUCUUGUGCUGCAGAAUGGGAUUGGCUUAGAUCGUUAGUCUAAUGUUAACCCCCUUCAAAUCUAAUUAUUCAUACUCAAUUUUGACACGAAAGAGCCAUUGUCAUGAAAGGGGGACCAGGGACCUCAGCACCCUUGGUUCAUCAUUUUGGUACGAUGCCAACUCUACCACAUAACCACCAUUUAGAUAUCUAUCCUUUUAUUUUUGGCAUGUGAACUUAUAGUGGGUGGCUGACCUUGAAUCCAAUAGUUAUCAUGAUAUAUAUGGCUGAAAUUAACCAUCAUUUAGAUAUCUAUCCUUUUAUUUUUGGCAUGCGAACUUAUAGUAAGUCCGAUUUAUGUCCAAGGGUCAAAUUUAAAUCUCUCUUCAAUCUAAUGGCUAAGAACUUCCCAACUUUAUUUAAUACUUAAUGUAUCCAAUAAUUGUAAUCGAGUAAUCCAAUGACAAGUACCUUCAAUGAUUAUUUUGGCAAAAGAAAUAAUAUAAGUUUGUUAUUUUAUGAUAUAAUAAAUUUAUUAAUACUUUCCUUUUUCAAAAUAUGUAAUUAGUUGUAAUUUCAUUAUAUAAUAUAUAAAUUAAGUUAUUUGCAAUUUUAAA